This 60085-nucleotide long non-coding RNA is filed under the name Hordeum vulgare. Its description in RNAcentral is "long non-coding RNA (HVUL_LNC014438)". The stretch from base 59024 to 59159 matches the Rfam family "MIR1120/MIR1122 microRNA precursor family". The record is from RNAcentral. Lineage: Eukaryota; Viridiplantae; Streptophyta; Magnoliopsida; Poales; Poaceae.
GCAACGUGCACCUAUCGCCUGAAGAAAGGGAGAAGGUUUGUCUUCUGCACAAACUGACACUGUUUUCACACACUUGUAUUCUGACUUUUGAAGAGUGCAUUUACAAAAGACAGCAAAAUUUUAAAUUUCUCACAAUGCCUUAUCAUUUAUGGCUGUUUUCGUAUUAUUAUUGUUUUGGGUAAUCCACAAGGACAAGACUAAGCAGUUGAUACAUGUCACGAGACAAACAAUUAUGAUACUCCUAUAUAUGAUGAUAUGUAAUCUGUCUUUCAUAAUUGUUUUUUUUGUAGGCGUUAUCCAUUAGUAGGUCACUGGUAAAUGCUAGAACUGCUGUGUUGAAUAAUAGCAACAGUGCUAGCAAACAUAUAAAGGAUCAGAUAGUGCAGACUCUGACUGAAGCUGGUGGUCGGGUUGAUUAUGUUGAGGUAAUAUUGAAACCUUUUUAAUUCAAGUGUCCUUAGUGUUUUCUGUAAAGCAAUUUAUCUAGUAAUUGAAUUCUCAAAUAGCUCACUGUGAUUUACUUACGUUCCUGUUGCAAUACUGAUGCUGGUUGUGUCCUAGAGAAUCAUUGAAAUCUCCAUGAUGUUAGCUACAGUUUGCAUUUUGAGAUAUCCUAAUAUCAGCAUAAUAAUUUUCACAUUUCUUCUGGAACAUUGUACCACUUGUUAGAUAAACCAUCCGAGUUUAGGUUAUUUAAAAAAAUGCCAUACUGACAAUGGCGGAGCUACAGCAAGGCCGGAUUGGCCAUGGUCCACCCAACAUUUUCAAUUUUGCACGCAAUUAUUUUUUCUGUUGGUCCAUAUAGAACACCAACCGAUAGGCUAUUUCUUCCAUUUUGGCCCGCCCAGCCCGCCCAGAGUUGGGCUUCAAGCUCCGCCACUGCAUACUGAGCAUCUCAAGUACGUCUAGAUACAUCCUUUGAGCGACAAGUAAUAUGAAUCGGACGGAGUAACUUUUUAUGGUCCCUUUUUGUUAUUACACUGCUGCUGGUUGUUUCCUGGAGAACCUUUGAAAUCAACAUGGUAUACUUGUAUAAUUUGUGGCACCACACAGCCCAAUUCAGCAUAAUUAGCUAUUUUAUUUCUUAGAACAGCAUACUGCUGAUAUUGAUAAAAAGAAUAAAACCACAUGGGGCAUCUCAGCUUCUCAAGCAACAUGUUUUUACCGGUCAUAAUAAACUUUUUAUUCGUAUUGAAUGAAUCUGCGAUGACAACGCAGAUUGUGGAGCAGGAAAGUUUGGUACCUGUGGAGACGAUUGACCGCCCUGUUGUCAUUUGUGUCGCCACAUGGAUUGGAAAGGUUAGAUUGAUUGACAAUAUCGAAAUUUAUAUACAAUCCUGAGGAUUUUGCUGUUGCCUUGUAUACGUAUCUCAGGAGUUAUCACCAAUCUGUAUUUUUGUCAAAAAUAAGAGUGAUGUUGUACAAUGUAAGUUUGUAACAACCACAUACAGAGAAGUUGCAAAAUCUUUGAUAAAUGUCUUCAUUUAUUGUUCAAUGAUAGAUAUGUUGCUAUGCCAAAAACAUAUUAAAUGUUUGGACCAGCAGGAUUGAUUCUAGUAGCUUUAUAAAUGAAAGAAAUCCAUUGUCAGGAUACCCAAAUCCUUUAGAACAGUAUUUGAGUGUUGAAGAGGCAGUGAUACUCAUGUGUACCGGCAUUUAUUGUUUGGAUGAUAAAUGUGUUGUUUAAAUUGAAGUCACUAAUUCGUGCCUUCCUGCUAUUCCAAAGAACUAUUAAAUGUUUGGGCCAAUGGAAGGGAUUCUAGCUUAUAAAUGAAAAGAACCCAUUGGAAGGAUACCCAAAUCCUUUAGAACAGUAUCAUGCCAAUCAAUGGCAGUCAUAUUCAAGAUACCUGGUAUAUAUAUAAGGGUGCAAUCUGCUGUAUAUCCAUACAAGAACAAGAAGCAUAGAGCAGCUAGUAUAUGUUUGAAUUCCUGGCNNNNNNNNNNNNNNNNNNNNNNNNNNNNNNNNNNNNNNNNNNNNNNNNNNNNNNNNNNNNNNNNNNNNNNNNNNNNNNNNNNNNNNNNNNNNNNNNNNNNAGCUUAGUUAAUAUAUAUAUAUUUUAAAAUUUCAUUUUAUUUAAAAUAAGUUAUUUAUGUUUAAAUAAUACACAAUGUGUAUUUAAAGGAUGUUCAUCAUAUAUUAACAAAUGUUGAAUAUAGUUAAAAAAUAUUCAGUUUGUGUUUUAGAGUAUUAAGUGUAUACUAAAAAAACCAUUUUAUACAAAAUUAUUUAUCAUAUAUUAAGAACUGUUCAUAGUAUAUUAGAAAAAUGUUCAGCAUAUAUUGAAGAAAUUUUCACAACGUCUUUAGAUAAUGUUCAUGUUGUAUAAAAAGUAGAUUUAUAAAUGUCCAGAAAAACAUAAAAAUAUCAGAAGAAAAACCCGAAAGAGCCAAAAGAAAAAGACGGAGAACGAAAACAAGGACGCGUGGAACCCAUAUUGAAAACAAAACCACGAACAAAUAAAGAAGGAAACAACGCACAACCGAAAAAAAAUCCUUCUAGAACAUUUACAAAACUAUCACGAACGGAAAAGUAGGAAACCGUUACUGUGUUUGAUUGAGGGCGUCUGGCCUUUUGACACCUGCGAGAGUGAAAUGGGAUCGGCCAUUGGCGAUGGAAGCUGUCUUGUCUUCCGUAUUCGUACUUUUGUCUAGUAUUAUAUCUUCUCUUGUUCAUUAACGCGUAUGACUCGUGUAAAGACGGAAAAUAAAAAGGAUAGGCUCGUGUGCUUUCAUAACGGAAUUUAAGUGUAUAGUACCAACUUCAUAUCAUAAUCAAAUAAAACAAACCACUGGAAUCAUAAUACAUGACUUUUUGAGAAGUAACUCUGUUUCAGCUUUGGCUUUCUAGUUCUUAUCUGGAAAUGCAAUGGGCAAUAACAGUUUCAUGCCAUCUUCAGUGUGACUUGAGCAUCUUGCAUGUCGCAAACAGACACAGUUUGAAUUCCAAGCGAGGGUGCCCCAAUUUCCGACGACACACCCGCAACUACUGGUGAUUGCUGCAUUCCUUCGCGAAGAAGUUUUUUUUAGAAAAGCCGUCGCCCCGGCCUCUGCAUCGAAAGAUGCAUGCGACCUUUUAUUUAAACAAAGAUAAAGUUGUUUGAGUCGAGUGCAUUUGAAAAUAGUAAAAGACAUGCAAGACACACAGCGCCAUUCGCGUCACAACCGGCUAUAGUAAUAUAACUAGAUGAUUAGCCACCUAUCGUAUUAAUAUGUCGUCAUCCAAAUCGGUUGAAGAUACCCAGAGCUAUCAUCUCCCAACGGACACACCCAGUAACCAAAGGCUCCCUGGCCUUCACAGGAGUGAGUAAUGACCACGCGCGGAUCAAGACAGUAGCCCGGAAUAAAACCUGCAAAAAAUUGAUAGAGCUAUAUCUGUUAAACAAUAAAUCAUUUCUGCAGUUCCAUGUAGUCCAAAGUAAUGCACAGGUUCCCACACGAGUAAGCUGUGCCAAUUCAAAAUCAACCCGCUGUAGCCACGUCCCAAAGAACAUGUUUAUGCUAGUUGGAGGAGUAAUAUUGAAAGCAAUGUGAAUCGUGCGCCAUAAUAGUUUAGCCAACGGGCAGUCGAGAAAGAGGUGCUUAUUACUUUCCUUAUUGUUACAGAAGCUGCAUCUUAGAUUUCCUUUCCAAUUUCGUUUUGCGAGAUUGUCUUUUGUUAGAAUAACACCUUUGUCGACAAACUAUAUAAAGAUCUUUAUUCUGAGAGGCACUUUGACUUUCCAAAUACGCAUGGAUUUUGGAAUAGGCACCACAUCUAUGAGGUGCAAAUAUAUAGAUUUUACAGUGAAAACUUCAUUAGUUGUCAACUUCCAUCGAAUACUAUCAGGUGAGUCAGAAAGGCUGAUGCUCAUUAACCUUGUGACUAAAUGCAGCCAUUUCACCCAUCUGUCCCCAAUCAGGGAGUGCCGAAACUAAAUGUUUAGAGGUGUCUCAUGCAAUACCGACACAACAGUCGCCUGUCGACAUUGGACGGUAUUGUAUAGCUGCGGAUACUGAAUAGCUAAGGGCGCCUCCCCUAACCAUGUAUCCUCCCAGAAUCUAACUAAUUCACCCUUACCUAGGAUAAACUUAGUCCUUUGGAAAAAUGCAUUUUUAGCCCUCAUCAGACCUUUCCAGAAAGGGGAGUCAGUUGGCCUACAAGUGACUUGCGCUAAAGUCUUGCUUUGUAAGUACUUGUUCUUUAAAAUUUAUACCCACAUGCCUUCUGUUUCCACAGAUAAUAUGAGCAGCCAUUUACUGAGCAAGCAUCUGUUCUUAACCUCUAGAUUCGCAAUUCCUAAACCCCCUUGCUCCCUGGGUCUGCAGAUAAUGUCCCACCUAGUAAGCCUAUACUUGGUUUUGACAUCAUCACUUUGCCAGAAAAAAACAAGCCCGAUAGAAAUCUAAUCUUUUUCGCACCCUAACCGGUAUUUCGAAAAAGGAUAGAAGAAAAAUUGGCAUGCUUGUUAAAACAGAAUUAACAAGUAUCAACCGUCCCCCGUACGAUAAAAGCUUGCCUUUCGAGCAGCUUAGCUUUUUUCCGAAUCGUUCUUUGAUACACUUCCACUCCUUAUUUGUUAGCCUUCGGUGGUGAAUAGGAAUACCUAAAUAGGUAAAUGGUAAACUUCCACUUGCACAACCGAACAGUUGGUUGUAAGUGUCUUGCUCAGCUUUGGCCUUUCCAAAGCAGAAAAAUUCACUUCUGUUGAAAUUUAUCUUCAACCCGGAAAGCUGCUCAAAUAAGCACAACAUGAUUUUUAUGUUUCUGGCCUUGUCUAAAUCAUGUUCCAUGAAAAGAAUCGUAUCAUCUGCAUACGGUAGGAUUGAGACACCUCCAUCCACUAGAUGCGGUAUUAGUCCACCUACGAGAUCUUUCUCACCAGCCCUCCUAAUCAUUAAAGCCAACAUAUCCUCUACAAUGUUAAAAAGAAUAGGAGACAUAGGAUCCCCCUGUCUGAGACCCUUCAGUGUCUGGAAGAAGUGUCCGACAUCAUCAUUCACUUUGUCCUUCACGAAGAAGUAACCAUCCCCCAAUUAAGCAUUUUUGGACUCGAAGCUGUGAUUUUAGUGGCUACUUGUUACAUACUGCUUCCCGUAAUACUUGUACUAAGACUCAAAGUGUGUUUGCAUUCUGCAUAGUUGAUGAUGAUCGUGAACACUUGUAUUGUGUUCCUGUUGAUUGCUUAUGUACUGUUAGAAUAAAACGCUAAUGCAAGAUCAUAGACGACAUACCGAGACACGAUAUUUGUUAACAAGGUUCACCGGUAUGGCUACAUCCCGGGGACAUGACUACGGGCACUCCUCCCCAAGAUACCGCAACACCGGCCGCCCGGGCGUCGGCACAAGUCGCCGGCUCCCCCGCGUACCUAUUGCUAUCCGGUCGUCAUGAGUUACAACGUGUGGUGCCCCUCGAUAUAUAAGAGGCCUAGGAUACAACGUGUCCUANNNNGACGCCUAGGAUACAACGUGUCCUACACGACUCGUACCUAUCCACACCAAUUACAACUCCAAGUCCACGUAACCCCUUGCGUACAUAAUAUUCGACACAAAUAUAACAAACUUCACGUUGGCGAAUAUUCUGCACCACCUAGAAGUUGUCCAUGCAUCGAGCCUCCAUGCAUGUACUCCGGACUUGGGUUGUCUUCUUUGUAGCUUACUUAGAGCUACCCGACGGGUCUAACUUGCCGCCACCAUGAGACUCCACUGCUACUCCUGCAGCUCCACUGUUCAUGACUCCACCUGCAAUAGUGCUUCCUUGCAACUUGUAAAGAUGCGAAGCCGUCCUCUCUCCUAUCAUCACGAUCAUCCCAUCUUCUAUGAUUUCCAUGGUCUUCUUAUCCCGAUCACAACGGAAUUCCGUACCGUCACCAUGAAGAACACCAAACGAAAUUAGAUUCCUCCUUAGCCCUGGUGUUGGGGAACGUCGCAUGGGAAACAAAAAAUUUCCUACGCGCACGAAGACCUAUCAUGGUGAUGUCCAUCUACGAGAGGGGAUGAGUGAUCUACGUACCCUUGUAGAUCGUACAGCAGAAGCGUUAGUGAACGCGGUUGAUGUAGUGGAACGUCCUCACGUCCCUCGAUCCGCCCCGCGAACAAUCCCGCGAUCAGUCCCACGAUCUAGUACCGAACGGACGGCACCUCCGCGUUCAGCACACGUGCAGCUCAACGAUGAUCCUCUCCNNNNNNNNNNNNNNNNNNNNNNNNNNNNNNNNNNNNNNNNNNNNNNNNNNNNNNNNNNNNNNNNNNNNNNNNNNNNNNNNNNNNNNNNNNNNNNNNNNNNUGAGUCUUACUCAAAUUCACACCUCACAACGCAACCAAGAACUCCUUUUUUGCUGAUCUAUUUUGAACUCCUUCAAAAACUUGUCAAGGCAUGCAUCUUAUUGAAACUUCCAUUAAGUGCUUUCGAUCUAUCCCCAUAGAUCUUUGAUGCUCAACGUUCAAGUAGCGCAAUCGAGGUACUCCUUUGAAAACUCCUUUCAAACAACCUUGUAUGCUUUACAGAAAUUCUACAUUACUUCUGAUCCACAAUAUGUCAACCACAUAUACUUAUCAGAAAUUCUAUAGUGCUCCCACUCACUUCUUUGGAAAUACAAGUUUCUCAUAAACCUUGUACAAACCCAAAAACCUUGAUCAUCUCAUCAAAGUGUAUAUUCCAACUCCGAGAUGCUUGCACCAGUCCAUUGAAGGAUCGCUGGAGCUUGCAUACUUGCUAGUAUCUUUGGGAUCGACAAAACCUCAUGGUUGUAUCUCAUACAAUGUUUGCUCAAGGAAACCGUCGAGGAAACAAUGUUUUGACAUCCUACAUGCAAUAUUUCAUAAAUAAUGCAGCAACUACUAACAUAAUUCUAACAGACUUUUAGCAUCGCUACGAGUGAGAAAGUCUCAUCAUAGUCAACUUGUUUGAUCUUGUCAGAAACAUCUUUGCGACAAGUCGAGCUUUUAAUAAUAGUGACUUAUCACUAUCAUCGUCUGUCUUGCUUUUAAAGAUCCAUCUUUACUCAAUAGUCUUAUGACCAUCAAGUAGUUCUUCCAAAGCCUACACUUUGUUUUCAUACAUGGAUCCUCUCUCGGAUUUCAUGGCCUCCAGCCAUUUGUCGGAAUCCGGGCCCACCAUUGCUUUCUCCAUAACUCGUAGGUUCACUGUUGCUCAACAACAUGACCUCCAAGACAGGGUUACCGUACCACUCUGUAGUAGUACGCGACCUUGUCAACCUACGAUGUUUGUAGUAACUUGAUCCGAUGCUCAAUGAUCACCAUCAUCAGCUUCCACUUCAAUUGCUGUAGGCGCCACAGGAACAACUUCCUGCGCCCUGCUACACACUGGUUAAAGUGAUGGUUCGAUAACCUCAUCAAGUUCUACCACCCUCCUACUCAAUUCUUUCGAGAGAAACUUUUCCUCGAGAAAGGAUCCGUUUCUAGAAACAAACACUUUGCUUUCGGAUCUGAGAUAGGAGAUGUACCCAACUGUUUUGGAUAUCCUAUGAAGAUGCAUUUAUCCGCUUUGGGUUCGAGCUUAUCAGACUGAAACCUUUUCACAUAAGUGUCGAAACCCCAAACUUUCAAGAAACGACAGUUUAGAUUUCUCUAAACCUUAGUCUAUACUGUGCCAUCUCAACGGAAAUAUGUGGUGCCCUAUUUAAAGUGAAUGUGGUUGUCUCUAAUGCUUAACCCAUAAACGAUAGUGGUAAUUCGAUAAGAGACAUCAUAGCAUGCACCAUACCAAAUAGUGUGUGGCUAUGACGUUCAGACACAUCAUCACACUAUGAUGUUCUAGGUGGCAUGAACUGCGAAACAAUUUCCACAUUGUCUUAACUGCGUACCAAAACUCAUAACUCAGAUAUUCAUUUCCAUGAUCAUAUCGUAGACAGUUUAUCCUCUUGUUACGACGAACUUCACUCUGAAACGGAAUUGAACUUUUCAACAUUUCAGACUUGUGAUUCAUUAAGUAAAUACUCCUGUAUCUACUCAAAUCGUCAGUGAAGUAAGAACAUAAUGAUAUCCACUACGUGCCUCAGCACCCAUUGGACUGCAUACAUCAAAAUGUAUCACUUCCAACAAGUUACUAUCUUGUUUCAUCUGAAUGAAAACAAGGCCUUGGUCAUGUGGUGUGAUUUGCAUGUCACUAGUGAUUCAAAAUCAAGUGAGUAUAAAGAUCCAUCAGCAUGGAGCCUCUUCAUGCAAUUUAUACCAACAUGACUCAAGCGGCAGUGCCACAAGUAAGUGGUACUAUCAUCAUUACCUCGUAUCUUUUGGCACCAAUAUCAUGAACAUGUGUAACACUACAAUCGAGAUUCAAUAAACCAUUGAAGGUGAUUAUUCAAGGAAAUAGAGUAACCAUUAUUCUCUUUAAAUGAAUAAUCGUAUUGCAAUAAACACGAUCCAAUCAUGUUCAUGCUUAACGCAAGCACCAAAUAAGAAUUAUUUAGGUUUAACACCAAUCCCGAUGGUAGAGGGAGCGUGCGCCGUUUGAUCAUAUCAACCUUGGAAACACUUCCAACACGUAUCAUCACCUCGCCUUUAGCUAGUCUCCAUUUAUGUCGUAGCUUUCAUUCCGUGUUACUAAUCGCUUAGCAACUGAACCGGUAUCCAAUACCCUCGUGCUACUAGGAGUACUAGUAAAGUACACAUCAACAUCNNNNNNNNNNNNNNNNNNNNNNNNNNNNNNNNNNNNNNNNNNNNNNNNNNNNNNNNNNNNNNNNNNNNNNNNNNNNNNNNNNNNNNNNNNNNNNNNNNNNCUGCACACUUAAGGUUCGACGUUGUUUUAUGCGUAUUUGAGUUAUAUAGUUGGUUAACGAAUGUUGUUCAGAGUCCCGGAUGAGAUCAGGAACGUCAUGAGGGUUUCCGUAAUGGUCCGGAAUCAAAGAUUGAUAUAUAGGAUGACUUCAUUUGGUCACCGGAAGGUUUUCGGGCAUUACCGGUAAUGUACCGGGAAUGACGAAUGGGUUCCGGAUCUUCACCGAGAGGGGGGACCACCCACCCGGGAGGGCCCAAGGACCUUGGGGGUGGCGCACCAAGUAGGUGGGGUCAGCCCAAGGCUGUCUUGCGCAAGAGAAAGAAAAAACCAAAAGAAGAGAAAGAAAAAAAAAAGGAAAGGUGGGAAAAGAGAGAAGGACUCCACCUUCCAAUCCUAGUUGGACUAGGAUUGGAGGAGGACUCCUCCUCCCCUUGGUGGCGCGGCCCUUGGGGCUCCUUGAGCCUCAAGGAAAGCCUCCCCUCCCUCCUCCUAUAUAUAUGGAGCAAUUAGGGCUGAUUUUAGACAACUUUUUCAAGGCAGCCCGACCACAUACCUCCACGGUUUUACCUCUAGAUCGCGUCUCUGCGGAGCUCGGGCGGAGCCCUGCCGAGAUUAGAUCAUCACCAACCUCCGGAGCGCCGUCACGCUGCCGGUUAACUCAUCUACCUCUCCGUCUCUGCUCCGGAGCACCGUCACGCUGCCGGAGAACUCAUCUACCUCUCCGUCUCUCUUGCUGGAUCAAGAAGGCUGAGAUCAUCGUCGAGCUGUACGUGUGCUGAACGCGGAGGUGCCGUCCGUUCGGCACUACAUCGUGGGACGGAUCGCGGGACGGUUCGCGGGGAGGAUCGAGGAACGUGAGGACGUUCCACUACAUCAACCGCGUUCACUAACACUUAUGCUGUGCGAUCUACAAGGUACGUAGAUCGGAAAUCCCCUCUCGUAGAUGGACAUCACCAUGAUAGGUCUUCGUGCGCGUACAUGAACCUAGCUCAUGAUGCCACUGUUGGGGAACGUCCCAUGGGAAACAAAAAAUUUCCUACGCGCACGAAGACCUAUCAUGGNNNNNNNNNNNNNNNNNNNNNNNNNNNNNNNNNNNNNNNNNNNNNNNNNNNNNNNNNNNNNNNNNNNNNNNNNNNNNNNNNNNNNNNNNNNNNNNNNNNNGUGUGUGUGUGUGUGUCAGUAACUUAUCAAUUACACUUAUAAGUGAAUGGACACAACAGAGUAAAGACCCUCACCUGAAGUUGUAUGGAAACAGUAUGUGGUCACAGAAAUUUUGAUCUAUUAGAAACCUUAGAAGGUUUUCCUCCGUCUCCUUGGGUUUAUCAGUUAGCGUCGCUAUAUGUAUUUUAUCUGGGUCAAUAAACCCAAUAUUUAGGAUGUUCUUACUUUUACAAUCCAGAAUCUUCAUUCUGCAUAAUAGAGUACAAGUUAUAUAUAGACAAUGAAUUGAAAUAACUAAACAAGUUAUAUGUAGACAACGAAUUGAAAAACUUACAGACAAUAGCAACUCAUAAGCGAUUUGUCCAGGGCGUCGCCAUUGUACAUCUGGAAGAGUUCAUCAAAGUCGAUAUGGAUUUCUUCAGGGUGGUCGUAGUACUCCCGUGGGACACUCAGCACGAUCAUCGUUCUCCCAUUCUUUGAUUCACUUAAGUACCAUUGAUGCAAGUAAUACAUAUUUUUUGGGAGAUCAUCUUUGCUGACCAAAGGCUCUCCCAUGACAAACUGUGGCUUAGGGGCUACCACAGCCUUGGGUAUCCUGUCGUCUUGGGAAGCCAACAAAUCUUCAACCGAGACACCACAUUCAGCCGCCCACUCCUUUGCUAUUUCAAAAGUGUGCCCCUGCACCGGAGGGGGAACAUUCUCGGUUAACACCUUGAGGGGUGGGAUCGACUGUUUGGCCUGUUGUCCAAGCUAAGGAACGUCUGAUUUUUUCUUGCUUGUAGUUGAACUUGAUUUGCUCCCGCUUGCACUUGCACGUGAUGUGCUCUUUUUCACUUCCUUCUGCAAUGUGCAUGUAUAGUCAUCAGGCUUAUGGUGUAAGUCAUACUGUGAUGGAAGGGUCAUGAAGUCUUUUGCCCAUGCUAUUUGCUUCUCGGUGUAUUCCGGGCGGGGCUCGGGUUCCUUCUUUUUCAUCUAUGCAUCAUGAUGUUCCUUUGCUAUCCUGGCGUUUUCCUCGGGGGUACGAUCAUAAGGUCUGAUAGGAAGAUUAGCAUGAGGUACCUUUGGGAGGGGCGACAGUUUGCGCUUUGGGGGGCUCCGUCGCUUAGGAAUCGUCGGCGGAGCGUUCUUGGUGGCACGCUUCCGCUUAGUAUCCUAUGCGGGCGGCGGCGGAGACGGACAACCCAAGUCCGGCGGCGGUGAUCGAGAUGGACUCGUGUUGUGCUGGCCGACGUCAUGUGGAGGGCUUGGAGGUAAUGGAGGUGUAGGUGACCUGCGACGACUCGGAGGCGGUGUUGUCCUUGGGGCCGAGCCUGGAAGCUUGAUGUAGUUCUUGUCCCAUAGGAUGACUCCACCCAGUACUUCUCCGAGUGUCCUCUCAUCUUCGGGUCCAGCUAUGUCGAGCUCCAUAUCAUGAAACCCCGCCAUGAUUUCAUCCAUCCCGACUUUAGCAAAGCCAGCUGGAAUCUCACGGCCAUGCCAGCGUGCAUCAGGGCCAGAAGGUAAAGCUUGUCCGACGGCCACCUUCAUGGAUAUGUUCUUGAAUUUCUGAUGGAGUUCACAUGAUGUUGACUCCUUGAUUCCAUCCACGGGGUAGCCGGGACCGCCCUCUAUCAUUCUUCGUGCAUCGUCGGGCGGGGCCUCAGAUUCAGCCAUGCUGCUUUUCCGCUUAGAUGGGGCGCCGGUAAUAUCAAGUGCAGGAUCUUCCUGGCGCGCUACUCCUCUAAGCUCAUCAAUCUGCUUCUGUUGCUCGUUAAUCCUGGCAAGCAACUGGUUGAACUUGUCAUUCUCCUCAUCCUGCUGCCGCUUCUUUGCUCUCGCUCGGCUUCUGUAAGUGUCUUGGUCUCUGGCAAACCCAAGCCACCACGGGUAAGAAGGACCGAAGCCUCGCGUUCGUCCUCCAUGUUCGUCAUUGCCGAGGACCAGUGUGAGCAAAUCUUUCUCUCUAUCUGCAGUGAACUUCCUUUUUCCCUCCUUAAUUUCUUUCACUAUCCUUUUCCAAUUCUCCCUGGGUAUCCUAAGACCGUCACUGCAGAUGAGGUCCCCUGUUUUUUCGUCGUACGACCCACCAUGCGCAAGGAACCAAUUUCUUGCUCUCAAUUCCCACUCAUCACGGAGUGGUUCAGGUACGAUGCCUUUAUCUAGCAGAUCUUGCUCUUUCUUAUCCCACUUUGGGAUGGCAGUCUCAUAGCCCACUGGCCCCAGCUUGUGGUGAUAUUUCUUCUUGUCGGCAUUUAUCUUGUUCUUUUCUGAUAAUGCCUGGGCAUCUUCUGACUCCUUGUACUCUUGAAAUGCCUUCCAGUGAUUCGCCUGCUUGGCUAGAUACCCUCGAAUACUGGCACUUUCUUUGUCUUCAGAUAGUUUUUUCAUAGCUUCUUCUUCCAGCUACGGAAUAGUUCGGCCAUCUUCUUUAGAGUCCACUGCUUGACUUUGGCCCUCAUUUUGUCUGCGGCGUCUUCAUUCUCGCAUUCUGGCAGGUUGAAAUGUGACAUGAGAUCAUUCCAAAGAUUAUCUUUGUACCUUUCGGCGACAUAGUCACUAUCGGCAGCCCCUUUGCGCUUGUUCCACUCCCGAACGCUGAUCGGGGCGUGAUCCCUAACGAGAACUCCGCAUUGCUUCUUGAAUGUGUCAGCAGCAUUCUUAGGAAGCUUGGGUUCACCCGUAGGCAAUAUCACCUCAAAGGUGUAAUGCGUCCAUGCAUCCAACUUUCUAGUCGGGCCUCGUUUCGUAGCUUUGCUCGAUGUGGAGGCCUAAGAGGGAGAAACAUUCGUCAAAUGAAUGUAUAUGUAUACAAUAUAGAGCUAUCUCCAAUAUUUUUCACAUAUUACAAGUGAUUGUCGAACUUCAUAUGUAUACCUCGCCAGACUUUAUUAUUUCUUCACCGGCUUCUCCAUUAGUGGAGCUAUCACCUUCUCCGUCAUUGGACCUAUCUCUUGCCCGAUCGGCUUCAUCUUCGUGUCGCUCGACCUCCAUUCCAACGUCGGGGUUUAGAUAUGACGACGGAGAUUCAGCUGGUUCAACGUCGGGGCCGUCUUUGAUUAUAUCUUCGAGAAGUUCUUCCUCUUCGAGGUUCCUGAUAUGUGGAUCCAUAGUUCUGCAAAAAACGGAUUCUCUUAACCUUUGUACCAAAAAAGAAUUAUUCUAUCAGGAACUCCGUUCCAAAACAACUUUAGUCCCGGGUCGUGGCUCCACCCGGGACUCCUAGAUUUCUGCAUAGUAUUCAAAGUAGGAGUACUUUUCCAAUUUGAGCAUUCAAUAAUCAAAACCAAAUCGUUAGCAUGCAUUCAAUUAUAAGCAAAUACAUCAUCUCUUUUGUCCGUACAUCGUCGAAUAUUAUCACUAAUACUCCUCGAAUACUAUCAUACAUAUAGCAUCACUGAUACAUCUAGAACCGUAGCGCCCGACGGGUAUCGGCGCGGGCGGUGGACACCUAAAGAGAAGGAACCAUCACAGGAUCAUAGCUCCAAUGAGAUCCCCGAAGAACCUGCCAGGUAUGCUCGAACCUGCCCUCCAACGCAACCAUGUAGCGACGGACGUGCUCAUCCUCCUCGCUGACACGGUGAUGUACCACCUCCGCGGUGUCCGGAAGCCUCGGCACCCUCACUGGCCCACGCGACCGCCACCAAACAAGGAUCGGGUGAACGACGGGCUGGCUCCUCACCAACCUACGCCCCCCGGAAGGUAGCACCUCCCAAUACCAGCCGGGCGGAGCCCAGUCCCGGACAGGGCCCCUCUGAUCAAGCAGGUGUCCUCUGCCGAGUCGACGACGAGGAUGCGGGAUAGGCAUCAUAAAAUGAACUAAAAAAUAAACUAGUUCUAUUAAUUUUAUUGCUAAAAAUAAACUAUUAACACUUAAGCAUAUACAAUAGCAAAAUUAAACUAUUAACACUUAAGCAUAUAGAAUAGCAAAAUUAAGCAAUAAUCUAAGAAACACUAUUAACACUUAAGCAUAUACACUAUACAAUAGCAAAAUUAAAUGACAACAAAAAUAUUUCUUCUUCUUGUAACCCUAAACCAAUUUUUCCUCUUCUUCUAUUUCUCCUCUUCUUCUACUUCUUCUUCUACUUCUACUUCUCCUCUUCUUGUAGUACUUCUCCUCUUCUCUUCUUCUACUUCUCCUCUCCUCCUCUUCUAAUUUUUUCUCUUCUUCUACUUCUCCUCUUCAUCUAUUUUUCCUCUUCUUCUCCUCUCCUCCUCUUCUUAUUCUCCUUUUUCUUCUUUUCUUCUCCUCCUCUUCUUAUUUUCAUUUUUCCUAAUCUUAUUUUCUUAUUUUUGUUCAUAUUUCUUCUUCUUGUAACCCUAACCUAAUUCUAAAUAUUACUAACCCUAAUAAUCUAGCACAAAUCUAAUAAUAAUAGGAAUUAAAUGACAAAAAAUAUAUUUUUCUUUUUCUUCUUUUCUUCUCCUUUUUCUUCUUUUCUUCUCCUUUUUCUUCCUUUCUUCUCUUUUUUCUUCCUUUCUUCCCUUUUUCUUCUUUUCUUCUCCUUUUUCUUCUUUUCUUCUCCUUCUUCUUCUUUUCUUCUCAUUUUCUUCUUUUCUUCUCCUUCCCUUUUUCUUCUUUUCUUCUCCUCCUCUUCUUAUUCUCUUCUUCUACUUCUCCUCUUCUUCUAUUUUUCCUCUUCUUCUCCUCUCCUCCUCUUCUUCUUCUCCUUUUUCUUCUUUUCUUCUCCUCCUCUUCUUAUUUUCCUUUUUCCUAAUUCUAAAUAUUACUAACCCUAAUAAUCUAGCACAAACCUAAAUAUUCUAAAUAUUUUUCUUUUCUUCUCCUUUUUCUUCUUUUCUUCUCCUUUUUCUUCUUUUCUUCUACUGGCCGGAGUGUUGGGGAGGAGGGGGCGGGGGCUUACCGGCCGGAGGGGUCGACGGCGCGGUCGACGGCGCGCGGCGAGGAGGACGGCGCGGCACGCGGCGAGGAGAACGGCGGCGGCGAGGAGGACGACGGCGACGGCGAGGAGGACGGCAGGCAGCGGCGAGCAGGACGGCGGGCAGCCUGACGGCAUCGUCGAGUUCGUCGCUGUGCCGCGCCGGGCAGGAGAACGAGAGGAAGAAGAAGAGAAAUGGACGAUUUGGGUUGCAAUUUUUCGAAGUCCCGCUUAUAUAGGUGGAUCUUUAGCCCCGGUGCGUGGCUCCAACCGGGACUAAAGACCCCCUUUAGUCCCGGGUGGAGCCACGACUCGGGACUAAAGGCCCCUGCUCCACCCGGGACUAAAGCCCCUCCUCGGCUGCACGAUAAGUUUAGUCCCACCUCGCCCAGCGAGGGGGACUAACACUUGUUUAUAAGCCCCGUCGCAGCUUCUCCAUCGAGCUCCUCUCUAAAUCAGGCUUACGGGCCUAAACUCACUGAAAAUUGAAACUAUAUUCGAAAUUAUGGAGAAAAUUCAACCUGAAUUCAAAGUGAACUCACUUUGAAUUUAGACUGAAUUUUCUCUAUAAAUUCUCAUAUAGUUUCAAUUUUUUCUAUUUUCAUAAUUAAUAAUUUUGACUAUCCAAACUAUUAUCUAUUUUGUUAUUUUCAAUUAGAAACUAUGUUUUUUAAAAAUUCUUUUUGCAUAUUUGAGAAUUUGACAAAACUAUGAUAAUGAAAAGUGUUUGAAAUUGAAUAAAUAAUGCAAAACUAUUUUCUAUUUUCAUAAUUAAUAAUUUUGACUAUCCAAACUAUUAUCUAUUUUGUUAUUUUCAAUUUAAAACUAUGUUUAUUAAAAAUUCUUUUUGCAUAUUUGAGAAUUUGACAAAACUAUGAUAAUGAAAAGUGUUUGAAAUUGAAUAAAUAAUGCAAAACUAUUUUCUAUUUUCAUAAUUAAUAAUUUUGACUAUCCAAACUAUUAUCUAUUUUGUUAUUUUCAAUUAGAAACUAUGUUUUUUAAAAAUUCUUUUUGCAUAUUUGAGAAUUUGACAAAACUAUGAUAAUGAAAAGUGUUUGAAAUUGAAUAAAUAAUGCAAAAAUAUUUUCUAUUUUCAUAAUUAAUAAUUUUGACUAUCCAAACUAUUAUCUAUUUUGUUAUUUUCAAUUAAAAACUAUGUUUAUUGAAAAUUCUUUUUGCAUUUUUUUAGAAUUUGACAAAACUAUGAUAAUGAAAAGUGUUUGAAAUUGAAUAAAUAAUGCAAAAAUAUUUUCUAUUUUCAUAAUUAAUAAUUUUGACUAUCCAAACUAUUAUCUAUUUUGUUAUUUUCAAUUUAAAACUAUGUUUAUUAAAAAUUCUUUUUGCAUAUUUGAGAAUUUGGCAAAACUAUGAUAAUGAAAGUGUUUGAAAUUGAAUAAAUAAUGCAAAACUAUUUUCUAUUUUCAUAAUUAAUAAUUUUGACUAUCCAAACUAUUAUCUAUUUUGUUAUUUUCAAUUUAAAACUAUGUUUAUUAAAAAUUCUUUUUGCAUAUUUGAGAAUUUGACAAAACUAUGAUAAUGAAAAGUGUUUGAAAUUGAAUAAAUAAUGCAAAACUAUUUUAUAUUUUCAAAAGUAAUUAUUUUGACUAUCCAAUCUAUUAUCUAUUUUGUUAUUUUCAAUUAAAAACUAUGUUUAUUAAAAAUUCUUUUUGCAUAUUUGAGAAUUUGGCAUGCUAUCAGCAUUUCACCCUCAUAGCAUGUGUUAAAAAGUUGAGAGGGCUACGGCAAAAACUGGAUGCACUUCGUGUACAAAACGGACAAUAUCUUUCGAAGUAUCAGCGUUUCACAAGAAGAAGAAGGAGAAAUGACCCCCCAGAGCAACAGUCGACAUUCUUCUUCUCUCAUGUAUGGUGGACACUCCCUCACCUAAUUUUUUGACCGUCGAUGAUGGUCGCUAUUCCUUCUNNNNNNNNNNNNNNNNNNNNNNNNNNNNNNNNNNNNNNNNNNUUUCCCUAAUGCAUAACAAAUAUCUAGCACAAGAGAAGAAGGAAAAGCGACCCCCACAACAAAAGUGGUUCCGCGGCACGCCAUGUGGUUCCGCUGCACGCCACGUGGGACUAAUGUUCUUUCAUUUUUAAAUGACUUUUUAAUCAAAAACAGAUUUGUUACAAAAGGGAUUUCAUUUUUUGAACUUAUUUGAACUGAAGACUUUUUGUAUAUAUAUGUGGUCGAAAUGCAUGAUACCAUGAAGUUAGAAAGGGCUAAACCAUUCAAAAGUAGCAAAUGAAGUUAGAAAGGGCUAAACCAUUCAAAUUUGGAAACUAUAAUGGCACAAACAGAAACUAGACAUAUAUAAAUUGGUCCAAGCAGUACAUGAUACUAGUCCAAACAGUACAUAAUAAUAGCUACCAUAGAUAUAUAUACAAGUGUUCGACGUUGAGAACACUACUCGUCUGAAUCGUCUGAAUCAGAAUGUCCACCUUCCUUGAGGUGACGCUGGCCAUAGUUGACGACUCGAAUCUUGCGGUACAACUCGUAUGAAACGUAUGCAUCUUUUGUUGCAUACUCAAUGUUGAUACGAUCAAGUGGGGCCUUCUCCCAAAGUUUGUGCUAAGACUUUGGGAAACUGGUCUUCAUAUCACCAUAUUCCUCGUCGAUCAAGGCAACAGCCAUAUGAGCCAUCGAAGUCCUGACAUGUCGAAGCCUGAAUACCGUUUGGAGAUCAAUGAGGCAACCAGUUGGUAUCUCAAUACCGAAGCUGUACCUCAUCUUCAGCUUGUCGUUCCUUAUGUCAACGGUAGCAAAAGUGAUGCCGCUGCGAAGGAAGUCCAUGAGUUCUGGACAAUGCUUGUCACUACUGCAAUAGAAACAAAUUAAAAUGGAACGAAUGUUACAUACUGCUGCAAUAAGGAAACAUGUUUCACUACAACUAAAGAGAAAAUUAUCUUUAGGAUUCAAAUAGAACAUAUGCAAUGGAACCUAGAGAGAUCACUAUAGCUAUCCAAUGGAACCUAGAGAGAUCACUAGCUAUAUGCAAUUUUCAUGACUAUGACAUAUCAUAUUGCUAUCCAAUGGAACCUAGAGAGAUCACUAGCUAUAUGCAAUUUUCAUGACUAUGACAUAUCAUAUUGCUAUCCAAUGGAACCUAGAGAGAUCACUAGCUAUAUGCAAUUUUCAUGACUAUGACAUAUCAUAUUGCUAUCCAAUGGAACCUAGAGAGAUCACUAGCUAUAUGCAAUUUUCAUAACCUUGGAUCAAAGAACACCGCAUAAAAUUGUAUCACUACAACUAUGAUUUCAAUGGAACAUAUUGAACCAAUCAGAUUUUUCAGAUUGUGGAACACUAUUCCAAUCAGAUUGUGUUCCCUUCAACUAAUCAAAAUUGUUUCACUACAACUAUUCAAAGCGAACCAACUAUGAUUCCAAUGGAACAUAUUAAACACUAGUUGAUUCUAAUACGAUUUUUCAGAUUAUGGAACACUAUUCCAAUCAGAUUGUGUUCCCCUUCAACUAAUCAAAAUUGUUUCACUACAACUAUUUGAAGGGAAUCAACUAUGAUUCCAAUGGAACAUAUUAAUCACUAGUUGAUUCUAAUACGAUUUUUCAGAUUAUGGAACACUAUUCCAAUCAGAUUGUGUUCCCCUUCAACUAAUCAAAAUUGUUUCACUACAACUAUUUGAAGGGAACCAACUAUGAUUGAAACAAAUAAACUUACAAUGUCAUUAUCUUGGAUCAAAGAAAGCCUCAAAACUUACCUCGCCCAUUGGAAGAUCAAGACAUGGUGUGCGAAGCAUAGUUGGAUGACGGCAACACCGCGUUGAUCGGCCGUGUACUCCAGAUCAAGCCCCAAGAACUUCUCAUGAUCCAUUGCGGCGUCAAGCCAUCGUUCCUUCAACUGUUCAAGAAAAAACGGCAUCUCCCUGCUCUCGUUCGUGUACACGACAUCGAGCAUGGUCGUGCCAUGUGCGAGCACCUCUUUAAAGCGAGUUGGCAUGGUGGAAGAAGAGAAGGGAAGAAGAGAGGAGAAGAACAGAGAGCGAGAGCGAGAGAGAAGAAGAAACAGAGAAAUGGCGACUCUGCUUCGGUUCGUGCUUUUCAUCGCCCGAAACGACGCGGGAUGCAAACCGUUUGGGCCUUUAGUCCCGGGUUGAGCCACCAACCGGGACUAAAGAGGUAUACCAACGGUUUCCACCACUACGGCAGGCCACAUGUUAGACCUUUAGUCCCGGUUUGAGCCACCAACCGGGACUAAAGGGGGAUACGAACGGUUGCCACCACCACUGCCCACCGCGUAGCCCUUUAGUCCCGGUUUGGGACACGAACCGGGACUAAAGGCUCCUUACGGGCCGGGACUAAAGCCUCGAUGGAGGCAUUGAGAAUUGGGGCGACGUGGUCGGGCCUUUAGUCCCGGCCCAAAGGCAGGCCGGGACUAAAGGAUCCCGGCCAAAGGCCCGUUUUUCACUAGUGAUGGAAGCAAUUUUGGACCUGUUUUUCACUGAACAUCCUAUGCAAGAAUAAUCUCUGAUUAGAAGAUGAGUAACUAUGUUGUCCACUGUGUACAGCCAAAUCUAAUACUUCUUCUGAUGAUAAAAGCAAUGAUCAGCUAAUAUUACAAAGCGGAAAUUAGCUACGUACCCUGGUGAGAAGCUGGUUGGCUUUCUUCUCGGCGAGCAGCCUCCCUCUCAUUUGUCUGCCCUCCUCCCCAGUGAUACUAUGGCCCCCGAAGCUCGCGCUCGUCUACUGCCCAGACAUCGGCGGCGCUUCACUGGAUCUGGAUGGACGCGAGCUCUUGUCAGCUUCCCCGUGGUUACAUAAAGAUUGACAAAUGAGAACCCCUACCAACUCAUCAAAAUCCCACAUCGGCUCCAGUACCAUGUUGUUUCAAAAAAAAUUCCUAGAACAUGAAUGUUGGAACUACACCAACUGUCAGAUCGUUGCACGCGCGCACACACACAGAGAUGACUGUUGAUCGAAUCUUGUUUCGUGUAGUUUGAUGCUGAUGAGAGAAAUUUACCGUGGGUAAGGGGAUCCCUUGAUGGGUUUUUGGCCGUACUUCCUCCACGAGUACUCGUCCGGCGGGAUGUCGGCGAUCUUCGCGCUCACCCUCGGCACUCUCACCGUCGUCUUCAUGCGGUUCUUCCUUAUCUUGGAGCAGUAGCAUCGGCUGCCCGUGGUGUUGGCCUCUGAGUGCGCGCCGGUGCAGGGCUUCCUCUUGUGCCCGGACAGCGGCGGCUUGCCGGCGGACACCAGGCUGCGACCCUUGGACACACUCCCCUCGGCGGCAGUUAUCGACGAGAAGAAGGACGUGGACGUCACGGACAUCGCGCCCGACAUGGUCAGGUUCGGCUUGGUGAAGUCCAGCGUCAGGCUUUGCGGCUGCGGGACCGGGGCGGCCAUCGAAACCGGCGCCACGACGGUCAAUGGGGUCGGCCUGGACAGCUCGAUGGCGAGAGGGCGCGGUGGGGAAGGAGGAGGAGCGACCAGAGCUAGAGGAGGCGGUGGUGGCGGUGACUGGAUGGGGCCGUGGCGGAAGCGGGCGUGGCCGGUGCGGUCGGGGAUGGAGAUCACCUUGCGGAACUUGGAGACGGCCUGGUCGGCGGCAGAACUUGGAGAUGGCCUGGUCGGCGAUCUCGCCGAACAGCUGCCGGUGUUGUUGCUGCAACACCUUGGAAGAGACGCCUCUUGCGGUGGUGGAGGCGAGCAGGUCGAGCGAGAGGUGGGGCAGACUGGGACAAAGGACGUGUGACGGGGGACGGGACUGGGUCGUGGUUGUUUCCUUUUUUCAAUCGUGCGGAGGAAGGUUGCGAGGGAACGUGGGAACGUGGGCUGUUCAUGCGAUCUUUUUGCGCGGGGGGUCAACGAGGGUUGCUGCUCCUCUUUUUUACCGCAUGGGAAAGGUGGGAUCGAGAGGUAGAACCAUCGCUGGUUGAACCAUCACGACGGCACAUUCUGCUUUCAUAGUAGAGAUGAUGACGAGGAGUCGCCACUCGCCACCAUCCUCUUCUCCUAGCUACAACUCUUGCUAUGUUGCUCCUUCUUCCAAUGGAAAUAGAUGGUCUUCUUGGGGUGUGUUCAGUUGGGGGACCAACUGUCAUGGAAUGAAAUGGUUUCAUUUCAGAGGAAUGGGUUCGUUCCAUUUCUGUGUUUGGUAGGAGCAAAAGAGUAGAACGGGUCGGCUUCGUUCUGGUGUUUGGUUGGAAGCACGUAAUGAAAAGUGGAACGACAUAAAAUUUAAAAUUUCGACAGUGUUUGUUUGUAAUUUGAAGAAAGACAACAUAACAAUAGAUAUUGACAAGUUUAUAACACAUAAAUGACAGCACAUAACAUAAUUUUCAACAAGGUGCGCAUAUAACAAGGUUCACAUACGGAAUUUCCAAAAGCAGCAAAGUGCAAUAGUCAUACAUGUCAAGUUAGCCACUCGUUGACAGACACAUAUGUCAAGUUCACAUAUGAAAUCUCCAAAAGCAGCCAAAGUGCACAUCAGUCAUGUGUCAAGUUCACAUACUUGUCAACCAUACAACCAUAUUGAAUUUAGAAGUUCUUCUUUACAUACCUACUCACCCAAACAGACUUGUCGAUUUGGAUUAGUUUCAUGAAGGCUCUUGCUAUCUUGGGAUUGUCUACAGGAUGAGCAUAGUGGUGGGCUAGGUUCACAUAAGACUGCGCCAGGGGUGCCUCACGCGCCCUCGUGUCUAUUUGCCGUAUGGUGGCCCCCCUCCGGCAUUUCUUCGUUCCAGUAUUUUUUAUUUAUUAUAAAAUAAAUCUCCAUAAAUUUUCAGCCCAAUUGGAGAUGUGCAGAAUAGGUAUCUCUGACUUAGCCUUUUCAGGUCCAGAAUGCUCUUUCGGCAUUCUCCUGCUUGAUGUAAACCUUGCAUAUUAUGAGAGAAAAGGCAUUAGAAUUGCUCCACUAAGUGGAAAAAUACAUAAAAACACUAUAAAUAACAUAACAAAACAUGAUGUAAAAUGGACGUAUCAACUCCCCCAAGUUUAGACCUCGCUUGUCCUCAAGUGAAAGCCAAUAGCGAAAAUCAUGAACACAUGCUUUGAGAGAGAUGUGUAGAUAAAAAUAAAAUAUGGACAUAUCAGCAUCAUGCUCAUUAUUAUAACAACAAAUAAAACUUUAUAAAAUACUUCAUCACAACAUUCUCAUCAUAUAACUUUUAUCAUAAAGGCUUCUUGUAAACAAGUAGCAAUUCAUCACAACAUCAAAGUAUGAAGCGUAAACUCUAUUGAAAACUAACAAACUAUGUUCUCGGUCUACUUUGCAACACAAUUCAUCAUAUUUUCAGGAAGGGUCACAUAUCGGAGGUUUUAAGCAAGACUACAUACUCAACUAUCAUUUAGUCUUCUAUGAUUGCUAACACUCACCGCAUACAUAUGAGCAAAAGGUUUCAACCGGACAUAGAGAAAGAUAGGGGCUUAUAGUGUUGCCUCCCAAUGUAUUCAUCCCAAGGGUGACGUCAACAAUGAUAACUCAUGUCCACCCACAUUCAGCUUGAUAUAUGUGUUUAGAUCUUUCCCCACCACAUGAUGCUUGCUGAUACGUCCCAAACGUAUCUAUAAUUUCUGCUUGCUCCAUGCACGUUUUUGGUGAUAUUGCUAUGUGUUUUGUACACUUUCAUACCUUUUUCAACAUAUUUGGACUAACCUACUAACUCAGUGCACCCAGUGCCAGUUUAUGUCUGCUGAUGUAUGUGAAUUGCAUGUUUAUACCCAUAUUUACAGUGCCCGAAAAACCCACAAAACAAAUAUAAAAAAAUCAGCGUUCUAGAAGACUCCAGACGGCCGAAGGAGGGCCACAGGGGGGUCACCAGGCCCCCAGGCGCCCUGGUGGCGCGGCCUGCCCCCUGGCCAUGCAGGGAGGCCGCCUGGGUGGGGCCCACCCCCUCUGGUGCCCUACCUUGGCUCCUAUUUUUACCCUCGUGGAGGAAACCCUGAUUCCGGAACCCUUUUCUCUAGAAGCAAUUCCGAUCUCCGCCGCCAUCGCCAACAAGUUUCGGGGGACUAGAAUUCCUGUGUCGGCACCCUGCCGGGACGGGGAAAUGCCCCCAGAUUCAUCUCCAUCGAAGUUGCUUCCUCCCUCCAUGAAGCGGGAGUAGUUCCUCCUCGGGGCUGAGGUCUUCUACAAUAGCUAUGUGGUUAAUUCUCUCUCCCAAGGUGUGAUCUAGAUUGUGAUAAUAGGUUAUGUUAAUCUAGGGUGAUCCCAUGAUGCUUCCCCUUCUUCUAUGUAUUGGAUUGAUGUACUCACUUGAUCUUAUCUAGUAUAAUCCCCGAGACCAUGGUGACAACGGUCUAUUGGACAUGGAUUAGAAGAAUAUUUUCAUGAGUGAUUUCCUCUUUUGUGAAUUGAUUGAAGAUUGAGUGUCUCUUGGUUCUUGUCUUUGACUAUCCUUGAGAUACGUUGUGGUAAUUGUGGUACUCUCUUUGGAUGUCCACGGUGACAUUGGGAAAUCCAUGGAUGAGAACUACAAACUUUGAGGUGUGCUUUUGUAGCCCUACAUAAUUCUCGUCCUCUCUUGAUCACAAAGGAAUGACCUCCGAGUACGUCUCCAUUGCAUGUUUUAGUGGAAAUAUCAUCUGAUUAGACUAUGUUAAUGUUGUUGGGAGUUGCCACUAGUGAAAGUAUGAAGCCUUGGCCUUGUUUCUCACCAUUGUUACACCGUUUAUGCUCACUUUUGUCACUUGCUACCUUGCUGUAAUUUUAUUACAGAUUUAUAUUACCUUGCUUUGCCACACCUAUCACCCAUAUUUUACCAUCUCUUCGCUGAACUAGUGCACCUAUACAAUUUACCAUUGUAUUAGGUGUGUUUGGGACACAAGAGACUUCUUGUUUCUUAAUUGCAGGGUUGCCUGAGAGAGACCAUCUUCAACCUCUACUUCCAUGAGUUUGAUAAACCUCAGGUCAUCCACUUGAGGGAAACUGCUGCUGUCCUACAAACCUCUGCGCUUGGAGGCCCAACAUAGUCUACAAGAAUAGAAGCGUGUGUAGACAUCACUUGCCAAAGAGAAGAUAAAGGAAGUAGAGGAAAAUACUUUGACUCUUGCACAAAAAUAAAUACAUAAAGGUAAAAGAUAGGCCCUAUGCAGAGGGAAGAAGAGGUUGUCAUGCACCUUUUGGUUGUAUGCUAAAUCUAUUAGUGCAAAGGAACGUUACAUUAUAUUGCCCCUUGUGAUGGCAACCUUUAUUAUGCAGUCCGUCGCUUUUAUUAUUGCCAUCACAAGUUUGUACAACGCUUAAUUUCCCUUACUCUAAAUGAUCAAACAUGUUUAGAAGCAAUUUUUAUUGCUUUGUGCAGCGAUGAUAACUUACUUGAAGGAUCUUACUCAAUCCAUAGGUAGGUAUGGUGGACUAUUGAAACAUAGGUUUGGGUUUAAGGUUUUGGAUGCAGAAGUAGUAUCUCUACUUAGUGCAGAGUUUUUGGCUAGCAAAGGUACUAGGCAAGCACCACAUGUUAGAGGACCUACAACAAUAUAACUUCUAUGUGAAUGUGAACAAGCAUAAAUCAUUACGUUGUCUUCCUUUUCCAAUGUCAACAGUUUUUGCAUAUUAUAAUUAAUGGGGCUCACAAUCAUAAAAGAUGUCAAGAAUAGUGUAUUUGCAUGUAAAUCUUCUCUUCACUUAUUAAUUCUUUCAAGUGUUGCAUAACCGAUUAAUGUUAUGUUUGUCACCCUUCAACAAAUUUUACCACUUAUACUUUUCCUUAUGUGAUGUCACUACUUACUAUCAGAUUGGCAUAUGAUUUUUUCAUUAUUUUCUUUUAUUUUGAUUGCAGCAAUAAAGUAAAGAAGCAAAACUCAAACUAACUUUAUUAUAUAACUCUGACUCGAUUACAUAGAUAGAUAGAUAAAUCACGAAACUAGCAGUCAAAAGAAAAAGAUUGAACAAAACUUUUAUUUAACUAGAUCACGAAAUAACUAAAGAUCAAACUAGGAUGGAUAAAGAUAAAGAAGGGUGAUGGUGAUACGAUACCGGGGCACCUCCCCCAAGCUUGGCACAAACCAAGGGGACUACCCAUACCCAUGUACUCAAGUCUCCUUCUUUGGUGGUGAACUUGAAAAUGCUGGUGUAGAUGAUGAGAUGGCAUCAUAGUGUAGCCUCGGGAGGUUCUUCAGAUAUUGAACAACGCUCCGAAGAUUCGUGACUUGGUCCUUUAACAAAAUAUGAUCAUGAGUAAAAUAUUUAUUUUGAACACGAACCGUUUCGAAGGCUCUGAAGGCUUCGAUAUCAAGAGGGGUGAGAUGCUCAUAGUAGGGUUGGAGGUAAUCUUAUUCUUCUUCUUCUUUUGGUGGCAUGGCAUGCCCUUCUUCUGGAGUUUGAUCCCCUUGACGUCCUUGCCCUUGUUGUCCUUGGUAGCUCCUACUGAUUCCUCUUCCUUUAGUUCCAUGUUCAUCAGCCAAGCAUCUCCUUCUACGUGGUUGGAGGAGGGAGAACACAUGAUGCCUAGCCUGAUAGAUCUCACACAAAAAUAGCACGAAACAAGAACAGAUGAUUUCUCUGUGGUACUAGGAUCAAAUCAUUAGGAGAUAUAUAAGGAUGGAUCACGGUGAGGGAGUUGUUGGAUCCGGGAGCAUCCGGCGGUAUUAUAGGCAUGAUCCACGUGAAAUUUUAGUGGCCCAGUCAAAACCCAGCACACGCGUACGACGUUAUGACCAUCUAAAAUUGGUCAUAAUCGAUUAAAAAUAAUGUGCAAAUUCAUAUAGCAUUUUAUUUUCAUUUUUCGAGUCUCCAAAAUGUAUUUUUUUGUGAAGAAGCAACCAAAUAUUUGCACAAGGGUUCAUAUUCGAAUGUCAAACAAUAUUUUCAAAUGGAGCUUUCAUUUUCUUUGCACAGAAAAUUCAUUUUACAUUUUUUGAGUGUCCAAAAUGAGAUAUUUUAUGAACCUACCAAAUAUUUGUUGCAAAAUUAGAACAAGUCAUUUUCUAAAAUAUUAGGCCAUAUUUAAUGCACAAUUGAUCAAAUGGUUGGGUGUCAAAAGGUUUUAUCCACCUCUCGUGAAAAAGACAAAUUUAAUCCGAUUUAGGUGGAAGCGAGUCAAAUUUGAAAUGCAACUCCAUUAUAAUUUGCUCUUUAUUUUUUCAAAAAAUAUUUUUUAGGUACAAAAGUACCUAUUUAAUAAGAGAAACACCAAAUGUUUUGCAAGAUUCAACCACUAGCUAGGAACGGUCAUGCCCUCCGUUUUGACCACAUUUUUUAAACGGGCAUGAAAAAAUAAAAAAAUCAAAAAAUUGGAAACUCUUCGCAUUGUGCCAUUAAAUAUGACCAAGUUACGAGGAAAAAUAAUAAACUUGUAAUACAUAAAUUAUUUAAAAAAAUGUUCUCACAAAUGAGCUAUCAUGUGUGAAGAUUUGUGUCUUUCAAGGUAAACGAUCAAUCUUAUGGACACAUUCGUGACAUAGUUUGUUGAAAUGAUCUAAUAUUAUGCACAAAGGUGCAUAUUGUAAUGGAAAAUAAUGUUGCCUAAGGAAGUUGUCUUUUUUUAUGAAAUAUUCAUUUACCAUUUUGCGAGUGCUCAAAAUGAGUUUUUUUUGUGAAGGACCUACCAUAUUUAAAAAAAAAAUAUGCCAUAUUUAAUGUACGUAUUGACCAAAUGGUUGGGUGUGAAAAUAUUUUUUUAUCUCUCGUGAAAAAGACAAAUUUUAGCCGAUUUAGUUGGAAACGAGUCAAAUUUGAAGUGCAACUCUAUUAUAGUUUCCUCUUUAUUUAUUUUUAAAUAGUUUUUAGAUACAACAGUAUCUAUUUAAUCAGAGAAACACCAAAAAAUUUGCAAGAUUCAACUACUAUCUAGGAAGAGUCGCCCUCCGUUUUGACCGCAUUUUUUAACGAGCAUGAAAAAUUCAAAAAAAAUCGAAAAAUUGGAAACCUUCGCAUUGUGCCAUUAAAUUUGACCACGUUACAAGAAAAAAUAAUAAACUUGUAAUACGGAAAUUAUUUAAAAAAAAGUUCUCAGAAAUGAGCUAUGAUGUGUGAAGAUUCAUGACUUUCAAUACAAAUAAUCAAUCUUAUUUUAAUGGCAUAGUUGUUGAAAUGAUCUAAUAUUAUGUACAAGGGUUCAUAUUGUAAUGGCAAGCAAUGUUGCCUAAGGAAGUUUCCGUGUUCUUUGGACGAAAAAAUCAUUUUCCAUUUUCCAAGUGCUUAAAAUGAGUUUUUUGUGAAAGACCUACCAUAUAUUUGUUGCAAAAUUAGAAACAAUUAUUUGGAUAAAAUACUAGGACAUAUUUAAUGUAUAAUUGACCAAAAGAUUGGGUGUAAAAAUAUUUUAUCCACCUCUCGUGAAAAAGACAAACUUCCGUCGAUUUACGUGGAAGCGAGUCAAAUUUGAACUGCAACUCCAUUAUAGUUUGCUUUUUAUUUUUCAAAAAAUAUUUUUUAGGUACAAAAUUAUGUAUUUAAUCAGAGAAAAACCAAAACUUUUGCAAGAUUCAUUCACUAGCUAGGAACGGUCAUGCCCUUUGUUUUGACCGUAUUUUGUAACGGGCAUGAAAAAAAUGAAAAACAAAUCAAAAAUUGGAAAACCUUCGCAUUGUGCCAUUAAAUAUGACCAAGUUACGAGGAAAAAUAAUAAAGUUGUAAUACGACAAUUAUUUAAAAAAAUGUCCUCAGAAAGGAGCUAUCAUGUGGGAAGAUUCAUGUUUUUCAAGGCAAAUAAUCAAUCUUAUGAGCACACUGAUGAUAUAGUUUGUUGAAAUAAUUUAAUAUUAUGCACAAGGGUGCAUAUUGUAAUGGCAAGCAAUGUUGCCUAAGGAAGUUUUCAUUUUCUUUGGAUGAAAAAUUCAUUUUUCAUUUUUCGAGUGUGCAAAAUGAGUUUUUUUUAAGGACGUACCAUAAAUUUAUUGCAAAAUUGGACCAAAUAUUUUUUCUAAAAUAGUACGAUAUAUUUAGUGUACAAUUGAACAAAUGGUUGGGUGUUAAAAUAUUUUUCCAUCUCUCGUGAAAAAGACAAAUUUAAGCUGAUUGAGUUGGAAGCGGGUUAAAUUUAAACUACAGCUGCAUUAUGGUUUCCUCUUUAUUUUUUCAAAAAAAAUCAUUUUUAGGUACAUAAGUAUCUAUUUAAUCAUAAAUACAUGGUGUGGUGGCGAGACAUUGAGGUUUGGAUGGUGGGCGAGGGCCCCAACUCCAGAGCGCGUAAACUCGCAUGACAGUCGCUUGGUCACUGCCUGACCGUGGCGUUGCCACACGUUCUGGGUGGACUAGGCAUGUCUGGUGGGUUGGACACUCCUCAGUAGGUGUUAGCAAGAAGAAUACAAUAAAAGAAUCCCACGAGUAGAAUGAACUAAGCUCAAACAUGAAUUAGCAGCCAAGUGUUUGAUUAACGGUGGGGAAAUGCACAUGGACAAUGGGUCUAAUAUUGGUUGAGGAUGAUCAUCUACUAAGGAGACUCUCUUGGUAAAUUUUUAUCUCAAAUGGAUGAUCCUAGAUGGUACUUGCUUUGCAAAGUACCACACUAUGCAGAAAUAUGGAUAUUGAAGCUGGGAUCAAACGAAUAAAUGAAUUGAGCUAAAAUUUGGUGGAUGGUGUUCAUUUGGGAAUAUGAAGGCACUGUAAAUUUGUAUACCAUUUGGAUAUGCCAAAGUGACACUUCCUUCACAAUGUGUCAAUCUAGACAGAAAAUGGUAAUUGAAACUCGGCUCACAAAUAUGAUUGGAUUGAUCUGCAAUUUGGAGGAGGAUUAUAAGUUGGGCACAUAAAGGCACUGUAAAAGUUUCAUAAAAUUUGGAUAAAUAAAAAUUGUACUUCCUUCACAAUGCUCUCCACUGAACAGAACAUUGGGGAAAAUAUUGAGGGAAAUUGACUAAAUUAAAUGAGCUAAAAUUUGGUGGAGGGGGGUUCUAUGGUCAGCUUUAUGUCCUGGUAAAUUUUCAGCAACUAUAAAGUAAUAUAAAACGUGGUUGCUUCAUAAACUAAAAAUAUUACCACAAACAAAGAUAGGAUGAUGAGCUCACAUCGAUUGUUAUAUGCGGCUCAAAUUUUGUGGACAAUUAUGGUUUGGGCAUAUAGAAGAUGUGACAAAAAUUCAACUCAUUAGGAUAUAUCUAGCUAGUACUUCCUUCACAAAGCUUCUAGCUGAACACAAACUUUAGAAAUUUGCUGAUAAAGAUUUACUAGGCAAAUGGAGAUGAAUUUUUUCACGAGGCAAUGAUUUGGAUAGGCAAGAGUCCCAAAAAUUUUGAGGGCAAUCAAGAAAAUAUAAAUAGCACUUCCUUCACAAAGUGUUAUUCUAAACAGAAUAGGAAAAUGAAUAUUUUUGAAUUAUUUUUGAACUAGCGAAGGAAGGUUUUUGACGUAUUUGAGGAAUAUAUGAUCCAAAGAAUUUAUGUGAAUUUUUGGAGAAUAUUGGGAAUGACAGAAUAGUAGGUUUCUUAACAAACUAGGGCAAAAAUUGACACGUAGACAUGACACAUUGACAAAACUGAUGAUGUAGCGUCUAGUCAUAGCUAUGACCAUCUAUAUUGGUCGUAAUUAGCUAGAAAUUACACAGUGGACCAGGGCUAUCUACUUUACGACCAUUUCUCGUAAGAAAAUUAUGAUCUUUUUUGACCGAAUUGGUCGUUAUGGUUUCGGGUUGGAGCCUCCCAAACAGCUUACGACCAAUUGGUCUCAAAUGGUCGUAAAUUCACGACCAUUUCAGCCAGGGUCACUGCGAGAAGGUCACUAGUUGACAUAUUUCUUGCAGUGCCCGUUUAUUUACACAACAAUAUUAAAUAUUAUUUAACAUGCAAGAGGUGAAGCAUAAAUAAACUACACUAUCUACGUAUUUUAAAUAAGGUCGGAAACAACAUAUAACAUUUCCGAAAUGACCCCAUAUGUUAAUUUCGAAAUUGGUCUAGACCUGAACUAAGCACNNNNNNNNNNNNNNNNNNNNNNNNNNNNNNNNNNNNNNNNNNNNNNNNNNNNNNNNNNNNNNNNNNNNNNNNNNNNNNNNNNNNNNNNNNNNNUUUCGAAUUUGCUACAGAUAUGCUUAGAACAUAAUUUUAGAAUUGUUAAACAAAAAAAAAUAAAUGCUAUCAUAUUAUUCUACACAUUUAUCUGAUCAAAUUACAUAUGUGGAUCAUUCUAAUCGGAGCUACAUGUAAUUAGUUAUAAAAUAAAUUAUUUUAAUAUGACAUUUGUGCAAGUUAAAUGAAAACAACAAGUUAAACAUUUUAUGAGAGUUGGGUAUUGUGAACCUACGCGGAAUUCUAGUCAUUUUACAUAUUUAAAUCAAUUUAAUCUGACACACGGUUAUCUAAUUAUUAACAUUUUAACACCACGACAUUUAUCUAAAAUAUGCAUGCAUUGAUAAAUCCUAAAUUUCAGCGGACAGGAAAAAAAACGUAGUUCGGCCGGAAUGCAGCACUGCAACGGCCCAGGGAAGUAUUAGGUCCAAGUGAAAACUAAACAAGAACGCAUUGCAAAGAAUCAUGAAAUCACUGCAGCCACGACGCGUUUGUGCCAAAUUAAGGGCGCUGCUCUAGAUAAUCUUAAAAACGAGUGAACUUAAACCAACACAUAACAAAAUAGAAAAGGAAACCAGGAAUGUGCUGCCCAACUCGGCUGUGGUUCCUCGCGUGAUACACUAGCAAGUUAGUCCUAUACAUAUGAAAGAAGCACGAGUCUUCUUCUCCACGCACGCACGCACGCAACGACAAUUAGCACAACAUGGCGGAAGUGGCGGCUUUGGACUUGCUGCAUGGGGGAACCAGUCGGGGAUGACGCUAAUGGAGGGGGACGAGGCUGGAGAUCGGGUUUGGGGCGCGGGGUCCGGUCGAUCUGGUGGCGCCGACGACGACGGUCAUGUCUUUGUUCCUGGAUCAGAGACAGAGAGGAAAAUUUGAAGAGAAGAGGAGCAUGCAAGGGAGGCAGCAGGCGCGACGCGAACCUCCUAGGUCAAAGAAGAGGAGGCAGCAGCGUUGGGAGGGUGUCCUGGAGGUAAGCGGAGAUCGACGUCGGCGACGGCUUGAACGGCGACCGGAGAAAGCUCGACAGCCAUGAAGGGGAGCUCCUGUCCAUGCAGAGAUAGAGAGAUAGCGCUUAGAGAGGAGAGCUUGGGAUUAAGGAAGGAAGCAGAGGGAAGGAUGGAGAGGAAGGGCACAGUCCUGCUGGUUCGGCGACGGCGAGGAGGUCCUCGGGUGCGCCCCGCGCGGGACCGAGAGAAAGCACUGGGACGAGCGGCUCCACGGGAGACCGCAGAAGGCAAAGUGUAUAAAAAGUAAAUGUAUAUGAUAAAGUGAGUAAAAAGUAAAUAUAUAUUUAAGGUUUAUAUAAAAAUUCAAAAUAGUACUCUUUCCGUUCCAAAAUAAGUGUCUUAAGCUUAAUACAAUUUUAUACUAAAAUUAGUACAAAGUUGAGAUAAUUAUUUUAAAACGAAGGGAGUAUGUAUUAGCGGGAUUGCGUUAGAUCCAUGAAGAAACACUUCGUGCAUUAAGCCCUAUAUAAGGUUGAACAGGGCCAACGUCUCGGGCUUUAAGGCUGUGAAGCCCCUAUCCACAUACUAUUAAUAGUGUAUCUCGGUCACACGCAUUGCUAGUAAUAUUUCCUACCACGAAGGACCUACUAAAAUACACAAAGAUUGAAAACCUAUAAAAUAAAAGAUUCAAAUUGAACAGGUUGAACAAAUUGUGUGAACCACGUGAAAACAAAUUGAACAGGUUGGAAUUGGUUAGUUUUGUUACGCCGCUAGUCUCUUUCAUGUGAACAUCAUACAUGUUGUACCGAGGGUUUUCUUAGCUAGAUCGAUCUUAUUUCAGUAUCAAGCAACUAGUAGAGACACAACAUCAACAUAUUAUUGAACCUAAUGUAUCAUGUAUGACACAUUUGACCGAAAAAUGAACAAAGCGGCAUAUAUCAAUUAUUUAGUGACAAGUGCCUUGUAAAUACCUCAUACAUUCUCGAUAUUUCUUAUUUGUGUAUAUAUCUAUUUAUAGUCUAGAUAAGUUGCAAAGAUAUUUCUUAUACAGCAAACUUUAGAUAUAUCUACCAGAACUUUUAAGGAUGCACACAUACCCAUAUGGACUACAAUCACGCAAGUUUUACAAAUUAAUCCAAGUGGACAUGCCAAUUUGUCUUUUCUUAUUUUCUCACAGUUGAUAAAGUUGAUUUAUAUAUCAUUUCUAAUGUGCAAUGUAUUUAAAUAAAAUAACUGAAGAAUGUAACUUUUGUUAGUACAUACAUUUAAAUUUACCUUAUGUAUGUAUUUAUGAUUUUAAUUAACAAAACAAGAUAAAAACAAAUACAAAAGUUAGUAUAAAUAACUAUAUUUAUUUUGGUUCGCACUGUCCAUUUUUUAAAUUGGCCCAUAAAAAUAUUACACUUACACAUGCAAGGCACAGGAAAGUUACUAUAAUAGUUACACUCAUUAAUGUGAUCGCACAUAAAAGUUUUUAAAUCCAUGGAACAUUAUCAUUAACAUCACAUAGAGGAGUGAUAUGUUGGAAAUAUGCCCUAGAGGCAAUAAUAAAUUACUUAUUAUUAUAUUUCCUUGUUCAUAAUAAUCAUUUAUUAUCGAUGCUAGAAUUGUAUUGAUUGGAACCUCAAAUACAUGCGUGGAUACAUAGACAACACACUCUCCCUAUUGAUCCUCUAGUUGACUAGUUCGUUGAUCAAAGAUGGUCAAGAUUUCGUGGCCAUAGGAAGUGUUGUCACUUGAUAACGUAAUCACAUCAUUAGGAGAAUGAUGUGAUUGACAAGACCCAAACUAUAAACGUAGCAUAUGAUCGUGUCAGUUUAUUGCUACUGUUUUCUGCAUGUCAAUGUAUCUGUUCCUAUGACCAUGAGAUCAUGCAACUCCCGGACACUGGAGGAAUACCUUGUGUGUAUCAAACGUCGCAACGUAACCGGGUGACUAUAAAGGUGCUCUACAGGUAUCUCCGAAGGUGUCUGUUGGGUUGACAUGGAUAAAGACUGGGGUUUGUCACUUCGUGUGACAGAGAGGUAUCUCGAGACCCACUCGGUAAUACAACAUCACAACAAGCCUUGCAAGCAAUGUGACUAAUGAGUUAGUUACGGAAUCUUGUAUUACGUAACGAGUAAAGAGACUUGCCACUAACGAGAUUGAACUAGGUAUGAAGAUACCGACGAUCGAAUCUCGGGUAGAUAACAUACCGAAGGACAAAGGGAACAUCAUACGGGAUUAACUGAAUCCUUGACAUAGAGGUUCAACCGAUAAGAUCUUUGUAGAAUAUGUAGGAUCCAAUAUGGGCAUCUAGGUCCCGCUAUUGUAUAUUGAUCGGAGAGUGUUUCAGGUCAUGUCUGCCUAGUUCUCGAACCCGCAGGGUCUGCACACUUAAGGUUCGGUGACGUUUCGGUAUAGUUGAGUUAUAGGUGUUGGUAACGAAAGUUGUUCGGACUCCCGAAUGAGAUCCAGGACAUCACGAGGAGCUCCGGAAUGGUCCAGAGGUAAAGAUUAAUGUAUAGGAAGUCCUGUUUUGGUCACUGGAAAAGUUCGGGCUCAUCGGUAGUGUACCGGAAGUGCCGGGAGGGGUGCCGGGGACCAUCGGGAGGGGUGUCACGCCCCAAGGGGUCUCAUGGGCUAUGGGAAGAGAUAAACCAGCCCCUAGUGGGCUGGAAUAAGUUCCCACUAAGGCCCAUAAGGUUUGAGAAGGAAAAAACACAAGGUGGAAAGAGUUUCCAAGUGGGAAGGUGGAAUUUGGAGUAGGACUCCUCCACCUCCAAUUUCGGCCAAACCUUGAGGUUUUGAGGCUGCCUCCUCCCCUCCCUCCCUCCUAUAUAUAGCGGUAAUUUAGAUCUGAUUUGAGACAACUUUGCCACGUGCAACUCAAACCUACACUACGUAGUUCUUCCUCUAGAUUAGAUUUCUGCGGAGCUCCGGCGGAGCCCUGCGGGAAUAGAUCAUCACCAACACCGGCGCGCUGUCAUGCUGUCAGAGAACUCAUCUACUUCUUCGUCUCUCUUGCUGGAUCAAGAAGGCCGAGAUCGUCAUCGAGCUGUACGUGUGUUGAACGCGGAGGUGCCGUCUGUUCGGCGCUAGAUCGGAACGGAUAGUGGGACGGAUCGUGAGACGGUUCAUGGGACGGAUCGUGGAACGGUUCGAGGGACGGAUCGUGAAGACGUACCACUACAUCAACCGCGUUUCUUAACGCUUCCCACUGAGCGAUCUAUAAGGGUACGUAGAUCUAAUCUCCUCUCGUUGAUGGACAUCACCAUGAUAGGUCUUCGUGUGCGUAGGAAAUUUUUUGUUUCCCAUGCAACGUUCCCCCACAGUGGCAUCAUGAGCCAAGUUCAUGCGUAGAUGUUAUCUCGAGUAGAACACAAAGGGUUUUGUGGACGGUGAUGUUCGAUUUGCUACCCACCUUAGUCUUUUCUUGUAUCGGCGGUAUUGUUGGAUUGAAGCAGCCCGGACCGACAUUAUUCGUACGUUUACGAAAGACUGGUUUCAUCGAUUGACAUGCAACCUCGUUGCAUAAAGAUGACUGGCGGGUGUUGGUUUCUUCAACUUUAGUUGAAUUAGUUUUGACCAAGGCGGUCCUUGGAGAGGUUAAAUAGCAAUUUGCACAUCUCCAUUGUGGUUUUUGCAUAAGUAAGAUGCGAUCAUACUAAAUACCCAUAGCAGCCACGUAAAACAUGUAACAACAAAUUAGAGGACGUCUAACUUGUUUUUGCAGGGUAUGCUUGUGAUAUGAUAUGGCCAAUGACGUGAUGUGAUAUAUUGGAUGUAUGAGAUGAUCAUGUUGUAAUAGUUAAUAUCGACUUGCACGUCGAUGGUACGACAACCGGCAGGAGCCAUAGGGUUGUCUUUAAACUAAAGUUUGUGUUUGCAGAUGCGUUUACUAUAUUGCUAGGAUGUAGCUUUAGUAGUAAUAUCAUAAGUAGCACGACAACCUCGAUGGCGACACGUUGAUGGAGAUCAUGAUGAUGGAGAUCAUGGUGUGGCGCCGGUGACAAGAAGAUCGUGUCGGUGCUUUGGUGAUGGAGAUCAAGAAGCACAAGAUGAUGACCAUAUCAUGUCACUUAUGAAUUGCAUGUGAUGUUAAUCCUUUUAUGCACCUUAUUUUGCUUAGAACGACGGUAGCAUUAUGAGGUGAUCUCUAACUAAAUCUCCUCAACUGUGCACCGUUGCGACAGUUCUUCGUUUCGAGACACCACGUGAUGAUCGGGUGUAAUAGACUCAACGUUCACAUACAACGGGUGAAAAACAGUUGCACACACGGAACAGUCGGGUUAAACUUGAUGAGCCUAGCAUGUGCAGACAUGGCCUCGGAACACAAGAGACCGAAAGGUCGAGCAUGAAUCAUAUAGUUGAUAUAAUUAGCAUAGAGAUGCUUACCACUGAAACUAUUCUCAACUCACGUGAUGAUCGGACUUAAGUUAGUGAAUUUGGAUCAUGUACCACUCAAAUGACUAGAGAGAUGUACUUUUUGAGUGGGAGUUCUUAAGUAAUAUGAUUAAUUGAAUAAAUUAUCAUGAACAUAGUCAAAAGGUCUUUGCGAAUUAUGAUGUAGCUUGCGCUAUAGCUCUACUGUUUUUAUAUGUUCCUAGAGAAAAUUAAGUUGAAAGAUGAUAGUAGCAACUUUGCGGACUAAGUCCAUAAAACUGAGGAUUGUCCUCAUUGCUGCGCAGAAGGCUUAUGUCCUUAAUGCACCACUCGGUGUGCUGCACCUCAAACGUCGUCUGUGGAUGUUGCAAAAAUCUGACAUACGCGUUUUUCAUGAUUACGUGAUAGUUCAGUGCGUAAUACUUGAAAGCUUAGAAGCAAGGCGUUGAAGACGUUUUGCAAACAUCACGGAACAUAAGAGAUGUUCUAAGAGAUGAAAUUGAGAUUUCAUGCUCGCGCCCUUGUUGAGAGGUAUAAGACCUCCGACAAGAUUCUUUGUCUACAAAGUAAAGGAGAAAAGCUCAAUCGUUGAGCAUGUUCUCGGAUUGUCUGAGUACAACAAUCGCUUGAAUCAAGUGGGAGUUAAUCUUCCAGAUGAGACAGUGAUGGUUCUCCAAAGUCACUGCCACCAAGCUGCUAGAGCUUCGUCAUGAACUAUAAACAUAUCAAGGAUAGAUAUGAUGAUCCUUGAGCAAUUUGCAAUGUUUGACACUUCGAAAGUAGAAAUCAAGAGGGAGCAUCAAUUGUUGAUGGUUAGUAAAACCACUAGUUUCAAGAAGAGCAAGGGCUAGAAGGGAUACUUCAUGAAAUAGCAAACCAGUUGCUUGCUACGGCAACAAAAGUCCUUCCAACGGCGCCCGAAAUAAGCGUGUUGACGGGAGACUAUUCAAGCGAUCCUCCCCUGCAACGGCGCCAGGAAUCCUUCUGCUACGGGCUAUGCCUUUAGGGACUUCCUUGGCAAAUAUGCAAAGGAUUCCCCCGUGGCCUUGGAGCCUUGCGUUGGUGUUCCCUCGAAGCGGAAAGGGUGAUGUAGCACAGCGGCGGUAAGUAUUUCCCUCAGUUUUGAGAACCAAGGUAUCGAUCCAGUGGGAGGAUCGCGUCAAGUCACAAGUACCUGCACAAACACAAAGAGCUUGCACCCAACGCUAUGAAGGGGUUGUCAAUCCCUUAUAGAUUGUUUGCAAAGUGAGAACUGAAAGCAAGAAGUAAACAAAGCAAAGUAAAAGUGAAAGUGGAGACGAUAGUUGUGAAUAGACCCGGGGGCCGUAGUGUUCACUAGUGGCUUCUCUCAUGAAAGCAAGUAGACGGUGGGUGAACGAAUUACUGUCGAGAAAUUGAUAGAACCGCGCAAAGUCGUGACGUUAUCUAUGGCAAUGAUUAUAUCUAUAGGCAUCACGUCCAAAACAAGUAGACCGAUACUUUCUGCAUCUACUACUAUUACUCCACACGUCGACCGCUAUCCACCAUGCAUCUAGUGUAUUAAGUUCAUAAGAACAGAGUAACGCCUUAAGCAAGAUGACAUGAUGUAGAUGGACAAUCUCAUAUCUAUGAUAAAAGCCCAUCUUGUUACCCUUGAUGGCAACAACACGAUGCGUGCCUUGCUGCCCCUUCUGUCACUGGGAAAGGUCACCACACGGUAUGAACCCAAAACCAAGCACUUCUCCCAUUGCAAGAAUCAUAGAUCUAGUUGGCCAAACAAAACCCAAGACUCGGAGAGACUUACAAGGAUAUCAAAUCAUGCAUAUAAGAAAUCAGCAAAGACUCAAAUAUAAAUCAUAGAUAAUCUGAUCCCAAAAUAUAAGAAAUCAGCAAAGACUCAAAUAUAAAUCAUAGAUAAUCUGAUCACAAAUCCACAAUUCAUCGGAUCUCGACAAACACACCGCCAAAGACGAUUACAUCGGAUAGAUCUCCAUGAAGAUCAUGGAGAACUUUGUAUUGAAGAUCCAAGAGAGAGAAGAAGCCAUCUAGCUAUUAACUACAGACCCGUAGGUCUGAAGUGAUCUACUCACAAGUCAUUGGAGGGGCGAUGAUGUUGAUGUAGAAGCCAUCCAACUCCAAAGUCCCCUCCGGCAGGGCACCGGGAAGGGUCUCCAGAUGAGAUCUCGCGGAAACGGAAGCUUGCGGCGGCGGAAAAGUGUUUUCGUGGAUGCCCUGAUUUUUUCUGGGAUUUUAGGGAAUAUAUAGGCGAAAGAGCUAGGGCAGGGGAGCUCCAAGGGGGCCACAAGCCUGGUAGCCGCUGCCCCCCUGGUGGCGGCUACAGGGCUUGUGGGCCCCCUGUGGCGCUCCUGCCUUGGCCCUCAAGUCCCCCGAUCUUCUUCUGUUCUGGAAAAAUUUAUUUCGGGGAUUUUAUUCCGUUUGGACUCCGUUCCAAAAUCAGAUGUGAAAAGAGUCAAAAACAUAGAAAAAACAGGAACUGGCACUUGGCACUGAAUUAAUAAGUUAGUCCCAAAAAGAUAUAAAAGGUAUAUAAAACAUCCAAAGUUGUCAAGAUAACAACAUGAAACUAUCAAAAAUUAUAGAUACGUUUGAGAUGUAUCAAGCAUCCCCAAGCUUAACUCCUGCUCGUCCUCGAGUAGGGAAGUGAUAAAGAAUGAAUUUUUGAUGCUUUCAUGCUACCUAGCAUAGAUGUCCUUUGUAACUCCUCUUAUGUGACGUGAAUGUUCAGAUCCAUUAGAUUCAAAACAAUAGUUUGCUAUUGAUGUGGAGACAAUAAUACUUCAAGCAAACUAGCAAGGCAAUCAUGAACUUUCAAAAUAACAAGGCCAAAAGAAAGUUAUCCCUACAAAAUCAUAUAGUCUGGCUAUGCUCUAUCAUCCUUGCACAAUGAAUUUAAAUCAUGCACAACCUCGGUAUUGGCCAAGUAAUUGUUUUCACACCUUUACUUUCUCAAACCUUUUCAACUCUCACGCAAUACAUGAGCGUGAGCCAUGGUUUUAGCACUAAAAGUGGGAUGGAGUGUGGUGGAGGUUGCAAGACAAACAAGGAGAAGAUGGUCACAUUAACUAGGCAUAUCAAUGAGCUAUGGAGAUGCUCAUCAAUAGAUAUCAAUGUGAAUGAGUAGGGAUUGCCAUACAAAUGAUGCACUAGAUCUAAGAGUAUGUGAAAGCUCUUAAAGAAAACUAGUGGGUGUGCAUCCAACUUGCUUGCUCACGAAGACCUAAGGCAAUUUUGAGGAAGCCUAUCAUUGGAAUAUACAAGCCAAGUUAUAUAAUGAAAAUUUCCCACUAGCUAUAUGGUGGUGACAAAGCAAGAGACUCUCAAUCAUGAAGAUUAUGGUGCUUAAUAAGCACAAGUGUGGAAAGAUAGUAGCAUUGUCCCUUCUCUCUUUUUCUCUCUUUUUUUGGUGGGCUCUUUGGCCUCUUUUUUUUAUAUAUUUUUUUAUUUUGGUGGGCAUCUUUGGCCUCUUUUUGUAUAUGGGCUUCGCUGGCCUCUUUUAUUUCCUCACAUGGGACAAUGCUCCAUCAAUGAUGAUCAUGACACUUACAACUCAAAACUUAGACCAAUGACGACUCUAUAUGGAAUGCCUUCGGUAGUGUACCGUGACAAUGAUCUAGUAUGGCAUAGACAUCAAUGGAAACAUCAUGCUAGCUAUCUUACGAUCAUGCAAUGGCAAUGCAGAAGUGGUGGCACAUGUCAUGGUGGUAGUUGCAUGGCAAUAUAUCUCGGAAUAGCUUUGAAAAAGCCAUAGUAGGUAGGUAUGGUGGCUGUUUUGAGGGAGGCUAUAUCGUGGGUUUUGUGCAUCGGCGAAAGUUGCACGACACUAAAGAAGAUAGUGAUGGUGGAAGGUGAAAGUGCAUCUAAACCAUGGACUCAAUAUUAGUCAUGAAGAACUCAUAUACUUGUUGCAAAAAUUUUAGUAGUAAUCGAAACAAAGCAUUCAACGCAUACUCCUAGGGUAAGGGUUGGUAGGUAUAAACCAUCGCGCGAUCCCGACCGCCACACAAAGGAUGACAAUCAAUAUACUAAUCAUGCUCAGACUUCAUCACAUAGCGGUUCACCAUACAUGCAUACUACGGGAAUCACUAACUUCAACACAAGUAUUCUUAGAUCCACAACACCAUACUAAUAUAACUUCAAUAUUACCACAACCACAACUCAAAACUAAUUGAGAUGAAUCAAACUUCCCUAACUAUUCAAUGCACAUGAAGGUGGAAGUUUUCAUAUCCCUUUGGAUAACUACCCCUUUUGAGACUACUAUCAUAGCAUAGAUCAACUACCAAGCCACGCGCUUUCGUGCUCUAAAAGAUAUAAGUGAAGCACAUAGAGCAAAAUCAACUAGCUCAAAAGAUAUAAGUGAAGCACAUGUGAGCUGAAUUGUCUAACCAAAGGAUAUAAGUGAAGCUCGACAAAAUCACGGUGAGUGCAUGUGACUCACUCUAGAUGUGCAGCAAGGAAGAUUGUGACACAAAAAAAAGACUCCUAUGAUACAAGACGCUCCAAGCAAAACACAUAACAUGUGGUGAAUAAAAAUAUAGCCCCAAGUAACGUUACCGAUGGAUUGAAGACGAAAGAGGGGAUGCCUUCCCGGGGCAUCCCCAAGCUUAGGCCUUUACGGCAUCCUUGAAUCAACUUGGGGUGCCUUGGGCAUCCCCAAGCUUGAGCUCUUGCCACUCUUUAUCUCUUUGUCCAUAAGAACUUCACUCAAAACUUGAAAACUUCACAACACGAAACUUAAACAGAAACUCGUGAUAUCAUUAGUAUAAGAAAGCAAAGCACCACUUCCUUAGGUACUAUAGAAAACUUAAAUUCUACUUAUGUUGAUGCUGGGUUACUGUAUUUUCAAUCUUCCAUGGCUAAUACCCCCCCGAUACUAUCCAUAGUUUCAUCAAAAUAAGCAACCAACUCAACAAAAACAGAAUCUGUUAAUAGCAGACCAGUCUGUAGCAAUCUGUAUACUUCGUGUACUUCUGGUACUUCCAAAAUUCUGAAAAAUUACGACAGUCUGAAAAAUUUGCGUAGCAAUCAGCAGCAAAAAGAAUCAACUCAAAGCUCUUACAGAAAAACAAUGAAAAUUCUUUUCAAGAGCAGAAAGUUUCUGUCUUUUCCAGCAUGACCAAACAAUCAUCCCCAAGACUAAUCAUAACGGUUUUACUUGGCACAAACGCAAAAAGAAACACAAAAAACACAAUCAUAACAGAAUUAUGAAAGUGUGGAAAACACAACACAGAAAUAAAAAGGAUAGAUUUGUUGGGUUGCCUCCCAACAAGCGCUAUUGUUAAACGCCCUUAGCUAGGCAAAAGGUGAUGGAAUCACAUAUAGUCAUCUUUAGUGCUCAAACCAUAAGUAGCCCUCAUCAUAGAUUCAUAAGGCAAUCUUAUUUUCUUUCUAGGAAAGUGCUCCAUGCCCUUCUUUAGAGGAAAUUGAAAUCUAAUAUUCCCUUCCUUCAUAUCGAUGAUAGCACCAAUAGUCCUUAGGAAAGGUCUACCAAGAAUAAUGGGACAUGAAGGAUUGCAAUCUAUGUCAAGUAGAAUGAAAUCCACGGGUACAUAGUUCUUAUUUGCAACAAUAAGAACAUCAUCGAUCCUUCCCAUGGGUUUCUUGACGGUAGAAUCCGCAAGAUGCAAAUUAAGAGAACACUCUUCAGUCUCAUGAAAACCAAGAAUAUCACAUAAAGACUUUGGAAUCGCGGAAACACUAGCACCCAAAUCACACAAAGCAUUGCAUUCAUAGUUUUUUAUUUUGAUUUUGAUAGUAGGUUCCCACUCAUCAUGAAGUUUUCUAGGUAUAGAGACUUCUAAUUCGAGCUUCUCUUCAAGAGAUUUCAUCUUGGCAUCUACGAUAUGAGCGGUAAAGGCUUUGCUUUGUCUAUAAGCAUGUGGAGAGUUUGCAAUGGAUUGCAUCAAAGAAAUGCAUUCAAAUAAGGAGCAACUAUCAUAAUUGAAUUCCUUGAAAUCCAAAGUGGGGGUUUCAUUACUACCCAAUAUUUUUAUUUCUUCUACUCAACUAUCCACACCUUUAUCAACAAGAUAUGUGGACUCCGAAUCAUUGGGGCGUUUUUUAACCAAAGUGGAUUCAUAUCCAGCCCCUUCAUCAAUAGGUUUGACACGCGAAAACAAAGAUUCAAGAGGAGUCACACCAAGCACUUCAAGAUCUCCGUGAUUUGCAUCACUAGAACGCACCCUUUUAAACCAUUCAUGCCUAGCGCGAAUUUGGACGGUUCUUUAUUUGCUCUCAUUCAUGGAGACACGCAUAGAUUUAAAAGUUUCAUCCAAGUUGACCUUGGGAGGAGCACAUCUAACUUUCAAAGCAUCAAUAUCACAAGACAUCCUAUCAACGCUCUUAGCCAAAUCGUCUAUUUUGAGUAGUUUUUCCUCUAUGGACGCAUUGAAAAUCUUUUGAGAGUUGAUGAACUCUUUGAUAUUACUCUCUAAAUCAGAGGGUAAUUUGUUGUGAUUUCCAUAAGUGUUGUUGUAGUAAUUGCCAUAAUUGUUAGAGGAGUUACUAGGAAAAGGCCUAGGAACAUAGUUUUCUCUAAAAGCAUUGUUGUUGUCAAAAUUGUUCCUACCAACAAAAUUAACGUCCAAAUUAGCGUUGCUACUCUCAAUCAAGGAAGAUAGUGGCAUGUCACUAGGAUCUAAAGGAGCAUUUCUACUAGCAACCAAAUUCAUCAACUCGUCCAUCUUAGCACUAAGCGAGUUAAUUUCUUCUAUAGCGUGUACCUUUUUGCUAGCAGGUGACCUUUCAGUGUGCCACUGAGAGUAGUUGGUCAUGAUAUUGUCUAGGAGUUUUGUAGCGUCUCCUAACGUGAUUUCCGUGAACGUUCCACCUGAGGCGGAGUCCAAGAUAUUGCGAGAAGCAAAAUUCAAACCAGCGUAAAAGAUUUGUAUAAUCAAGCCAAGAGCGGGACAAUUUCUAAUCAUUAACUUCAUCCUCUCCCAAGAUUGUGCAACGUGUUCAUGAUCAAGUUUCUUGAAAUUCAUGAUAUCGUUACGUAGAGAGAUAAUCUUAGCCGGCGGAAAAUACUUGGAUAUGUAAGCAUCUUUGCACUUAUCCCAAGAAUCGAUACUAUUUUUAGGCAAAGAAGAAAACCAAGUUUUUGCGCGAUCUCGCAAUGAGAAAGGAAAAAGCUUCAACUUAACAACGUCAUUAUCCACAUAUCUUUUCUUUUGCAUAUCGCAAAGUUCAAUGAAGGUAUUGAGAUGAGAUGCGGCAUCUUCACUAGGAAGGCCAGAGAAUUGCUCUUUCAUAACAAGAUUCAGCAAGGCAGCGUUGAUUUCAUACGAUUCCGCACUAGUGGCGGGAGCAACCGGAGUACUAAUAAAAUCAUUAUUAUUAGUACUCGAAAAGUCACAAAGUUUGGUGUUUUCAGCCAUGAUGACCUCAACAAACCAACAAGAACACAAGCAAGCAAGAAAACUGACAAAGGAAAACGGCAAAAGGCAAAAGAAAACGGAAAAGGAGAAAGGCAAAAGAAAACGGCAAAGGAGAAAGGCAAAUGAAAACGGCAAAUGUGAAGUGGGGAAGAGGAAAAAGAGAGGCAACUCGCAAAAAAGGUAAAUGCAAGAGAUGAGUUUGUGACACCUACUUGGAUAGAUCUUGACUUGAUCUCUCUCCCCGGCAACGGCGCCAGAAAUACUUCUGCUACGGCAACAAAAGUCCUUUCAACGGCGCCAGAAAUAAGCGUGUUGACGGGAGACUAUUCAAGCGAUCCUCCCCUGCAACGGCGCCAUGCAUCCUUCUGCUACGGGCUACGCCUUUAGGGACUUCCUUGGCAAAUAUGCAAAGCAUUCCCCCGUGGCCUUGGAGCCUUGCGUUGGUGUUCCCUCGAAGCGGAAAGGGUGAUGUAGCACAGCGGCGGUAAGUAUUUCCCUCAGUUUUGAGAACCAAGGUAUCGAUCCAGUGGGAGGAUCGCGUCAAGUCACAAGUACCUGCACAAACACAAAGAGCUUGCACCCAACGCUAUGAAGGGGUUGUCAAUCCCUUAUAGAUUGUUUGCAAAGUGAGAACUGAAAGCAAGAAGUAAACAAAGCAAAGUAAAAGUGAAAGUGGAGACGAUAGUUGUGAAUAGACCCGGGGGCCGUAGUGUUCACUAGUGGCUUAUCUCAUGAAAGCAAGUAGACGGUGGGUGAACGAAUUACUAUGGAGCAAUUGAUAGAACCGCGCAAAGUCAUGACGUUAUCUAUGGCAAUGAUUAUAUCUAUAGGCAUCACGUCCAAAACAAGUAGACCGAUACUUUCUGCAUCUACUACUAUUACUCCACACGUCGACCGCUAUCCACCAUGCAUCUAGUGUAUUAAGUUCAUAAGAACAGAGUAACGCCUUAAGCAAGAUGACAUGAUGUAGAUGGACAAUCUCAUAUCUAUGAUAAAAGCCCAUCUUGUUACCCUUGAUGGCAACAACACGAUGUGUGCCUUGCUACCCCUUCUGUCACUGGGAAAGAUCACCACACGGUAUGAACCCAAAACCAAGCACUUCUCCCAUUGCAAGAAUCAUAGAUCUAGUUGGCCAAACAAAACCCAAGACUCAGAGAGACUUACAAGGAUAUCAAAUCAUGCAUAUAAGAAAUCAGCAAAGACUCAAAUAUAAAUCAUAGAUAAUCUGAUCACAAAUCCACAAUUCAUCGGAUCUCGACAAACACACCGCCAAAGAGGAUUACAUCGGAUAGAUCUCCAUGAAGAACAUGGAGAACUUUGUAUUGAAGAUCCAAGAGAGAGAAGAAGCCAUCUAGCUACUAACUACGGACCCGUAGGUCUGAAGUGAACUACUCACGAGUCAUUGGAGGGGCGAUGAUGUUGAUGUAGAAGCCCUCCAACUCCAAAGUCCCCUCCGGCAGGGCACCGGGAAGGGUCUCCAGAUGAGAUCUCGCGGAAACGGAAGCUUGCGGCGGCGGAAAAGUAUUUUCGAGGAGAUGAGAUCUCGCGGAAACGGCAGCUUGUGGCGGCGGAAAAGUGUUUUCAUGGAUGCCCUGAUUUUUUCUGGGAUUUUAGGGAAUAUAUAGGCGAAAGAGCUAGGGCAGGGGAGCUCAAGGGGGCCACAAGCCUGGUAGCCGCCGGCCCCCUGGUGGCGGCUACAGGGCUUGUAGGCCCCCUGUGGCGCUCGUGCCUUGGCCCUCAAGUCCCCCGAUCUUCUUCUGUUUUGGAAAAUUUUAUUUCGGGGAUUUUAUUCCGUUUGGACUCCGUUCCAAAAUCAGAUCUGAAAAGAGUCAAAAACACAGAAAAAACAGGAACUGACACUUGGCACUGAAUUAAUAAGUUAGUCCCAAAAAAGAUAUAGAAGGUAUAUAAAACAUCCAAAGUUGACAAGAUAACACCAUGAAACUAUCAAAAAUUAUAGAUACGUUUGAGACGUAUCAUUGCUGCUCUAAUGAAGAAACCCAAGAUUGAACCCAAACCGAGACUAAGUGUUUCUGUUAUGAGGGGAACGGUCACUAAGGCGGAGCUACCCUAGAUACUUGGUAGAUGAGAAAGCUCUCGAAGUUAACAGAAGUAUAUUUGAUAUAUAUGAUAUUGAUGUGUACUUUACUAGUACUCCUAGUAGCACAAGGGUAUUAGAUACCAGUUCGAUUGAUAAGUGAUUAGUAACUCGAAAUAAAAGCUACGGAAUAAACAGAGACUAGCUAAAGGCGAGGUGACGAUAAGUGUUGGAAGUGUUUCCAAGGUUGAUGUGAUCAAACAUUGCACGCUCGCUCUACCAUCGGGAUUGGUGUUAAACCUAAAUAAUUGUUAUUUGGUGUUUGCGUUGAGCAUGAGCAUGAUUUGAUCGUGUUUAUUGCAAUACGAUUAUUCAUGUAAAGAGAAUAAUGGUUAUUCUAUUUGCUUGAAAAAUUACCUUCAUUGGUUUGUAGAAUCUCGAUCGUAGUGUUACACAUGUUCAUAAUAUUGGUGCCAAAAGAUACAAAAUAAUAAUGAUAGUACCACUUACUUGUGGCAGUGCCGCUUGAGUCAUGGUGGUGUAAAAUGCAUGAAGAAGCUCCAUGCUGAUGGAUCUUUGUACUCACUCAUUUUUGAAACGUUUGAGAUAUGCAAACCAUACCUGUUGGUACAAACGCAUGAAGAAACUCCAUGCAGAUGGAUCGUUUGGACUCUCUUGAUUUUGAAUCACUUGAGACAUGCAAAAUAAUACCACAUGGAACAAGAAAGUAACUUGUUGGAUGCAAUACAUUUUUUAUGUGUGCAGACCAAUGAGUACUGAGGCACGCAAUGGAUAUAGUUAUGUUCUUACUCACUGACGAUUUGAGUAGAUAAAGGAGUAUUUACUUAAUGAAUCACAAGUCUGAAAUAUUAAAAAGUUCAAAGCUAUUUCAGAGUGAAGAUCGUCGUGACAAGAGGAUAAACUAUCUAUGAUAUGAUCAUAGAGAUGAAUAUCUGAGUUGCGAGUUUUUGGUACACAGUUAAGACAAUGUGGAAAUUGUUUCGCAGUUCCUGCCACCUAGAACACCAUAGUGUGAUGGUGUGUCCGAACGUCAUAGCCACACCCUAUUUGAUAUGGUGCAUACUAUGAUGUCUCUUAUUGAAUUACCGCUAUCGUUUAUGGGUUAUGCAUUAGAGACAACCCAUUCACUUUAAAUAGGGCACCGCGUAUUUCCGUUGAGAUGACACAGUAUAGACUAUGGUUUGGAGAAAACUGAGCUGUUGUUUCUUGAAAGUUUGGGACUGCGACGCUUAUAUGAAAAAGUUUCAGUCUGAUAAGCUCGAACCCAAAGCGGAUAAAUGCAUCUUCAUAGGAUAUCCAAAACAAUUGGAUACAUCUCCUAUCUCAGAUCCAGAAGCAAAGUGUUUGUUUCUAGAAAUGGGUCCUUUCUCGAGGAAAGGUUUCUCUCGAAAGAAUUGAGUGGGAGGAUGGUGGAACUUGAUGAGGUUAGUGAACCGUCACUUCAACCAGUGUGUAGCAGGGCGCAGGAAGAUGUUCCUGUGGCGCCUACACCAAUUGAAGUGGAAGAUGAUGAUGGUGAUCAUUAGAACUUCGGAUCAAGUUACUACAAACCUCGUAGGUCGACAAAGGUCGCGUACUACUACAGAGUGAUACGGUUACCCUAUCUUGGAGGUCAUGUUGUUGAACAACAAUGAACCUACGAGUUAUGGAGAAGCAAUGGUGGGCCUGGAUUCCGACAAAUGGCUGGAGGCCAUGAAAUCCGAGAGAGGAUCCAUGUAUAAAACAAAGGGUAGACUUUGGAAGAACUACUUGAUGGUAGUAAGACUAUUAAGUAAAGAUGGAUCUUGAAAAGGAAGACAGACGAUGAUGGUGAUAAGUCACUAUUAAGAAAAGCUCGACUUGUCGCAAAGAUGUUUUCGACAAGAUCAAAGAGUUGACUAUGAUGUGACUUUCUCACUCGUAGCAAUGCUAAAAGUCUGUUGGAAUUAUGUUAGUAGUUGCUGCAUUAUUUGUGAAAUAUUGCACAUAGGAAGUCAAAACAUUGUUUCCUCGACGGUUUCCUUGAGAAAAGAUUGUAUGUGAUACAGUCAGAAGGUUUUGUCGAUCCUAAGGAUACUAACAAGUAUGCAAGCUCCAGCAAUCCUUUUAUGGACUGGUGCAAGCAUCUCGGAGUUGGAAUAUACGCUUUGAUGAGAUGAUCAAAGCUUUUGGGUUUGUACAAGGUAUAUGAGAAACUUGUAUUUGCAAAGAAGUGAGUGGGAACACUAUAGAAUUUCUGAUAAGUAUAUGUGGUUGACAUAUUGUUGAUCGGAAGUAAUGUAGAAUUUCUGUAAAUCAUAAAGGUUGUUUGAAAGGGUUUUUUCAAAGGAAGACCUGGAAAGAGCUACUUGAACAAUGAGCAUCAAGAUCUAUGGAGAUAGAUCAAAAUGUUGAACAGAACUUUCAAAUGAAAUGCAUGCCUUGACAAGUUUUUGAAGGAGUUCAAAAUAGAUCAGCAACGAAGGAGUUCUUGGCUGUGUUGUAAGGUGUGAAUUUGAGUAAGACUCAAAAGCCCGGCCACGGCAGAAGAAAGAGAAAGGACAAAGGUCGUCUCCUAUGCCUUAGCCAUAGACUCUAAAGUAUGACAUGUUGUGUGCCGCACCUAAUGUGUGCAUUGCCACAAGCCUGUUAAGAGGUACAGAGAGUGAUACAAGAUUGAAUCAUUGAACAACGGUCAAAGUUAUCCUUAGUAACUAAUGGACUAAGAAAUUUUUCUCGACUAUGGAGGUGGUUAAAGAGUUCGUCGUAAAGGGUUACAUCGAUGCAAGCUUUGACACUAAUCCGAAUAACUAUGAGUAGUAAAACGGAUUCGUAUAGUAGAGUAGAUAUUUGGAGUAUUUCCGAAUAGCACAUAGUAGCAACAUCUAUAAGAUGACAUAAAGAUUUGUAAAGCACACACGGAUCUGAAAGAUUCAGAACCGUUGACUAAAACCUCUCUCACGAGCAAGACGUGAUCAGACCCCAGAACCAUAUAGGUGUUGGACUCGUUGAAAUCACAUGGUGAUGUGAACUAGAUUAUUGACUCUAGUGCAAGUGGGAGACUGUUGGAAAUAUGCCCUAGAAGCAAUAAUAAAUUGCUUAUUAUUAUAUUUCCUUAUUCAUAAUAAUCAUUUAUUAUCCAUGCUAGAAUUGUAUUGAUUGGAACCUCAAAUACAUGUGUGGAUACAUAGACAACACACUGUCCCUAGUGAGCCUCUAGUUGACUAGUUCGUUGAUCAAAGAUGGUCAAGAUUUCCUGGCCAUAGGCAAGUGUUGUCACUUGAUAACGGGAUAACAUCAUUAGGAGAAUGAUGUGAUGGACAAGACCCAAACUAUAAACGUAGCAUAUGAUCGUGUCAGUUUCUUGCUAUUGUUUUCUGCAUGUCAAUGUAUCUGUUCCUAUGACCAUGAGAUCAUGCAACUCCCGGAUACUGGAGGAAUACCUUGUGUGUAUCAAACGUCGCAACGUAACUGGUGACUAUAAAGGUGCUCUACAAGUAUCUCCGAAGGUGUCUGUUGGGUUGGCAUGGAUCAAGACUGGGGUUUGUCACUCCGUGUGACAGAGAGGUACCUCAGGACCCACUCGGUAAUACAACAUCACAACAAGCCUUGCAAGCAAUGUGACUAAUGAGUUAGUUACGGAAUCUUGUAUUACGUAACGAGUAAAGAGACUUGCCACUAACGAGAUUGAACUAGGUAUGAAGAUACCGACGAUCGAAUCUCGGGUAGAUAACAUACCGAAGGACAAAGGGAACAUCAUACGGGAUUAACUGAAUCCUUGACAUAGAGGUUCAACCGAUAAGAUCUUUGUAGAAUAUGUAGGAUCCAAUAUGGGCAUCUAGGUCCCGCUAUUGUAUAUUGAUCGGAGAGUGUUUCAGGUCAUGUCUGCCUAGUUCUCGAACCCGCAGGGUCUGCACACUUAAGGUUCGGUGACGUUUCGGUAUAGUUGAGUUAUAGGUGUUGGUAACUGAAAGUUGUUCGGAGUCCAAGAAUGAGAUCCAGGACAUCACGAGGAGCUCCGGAAUGGUCCGGAGGUAAAGAUUAAUAUAUAGGAAGUCCUGUUUUGGUCACCGAAAAAGUUUUGGGCUCAUCGGUAGUGUACCGGGAGUGCCGGGAGGGGUGCCGGGGACCAUCGGGAGGGGUAUCACGCCCCAAGGGGUCUCAUGGGCUAUGGGAAGAGAUAAACCAGCCCCUAGUGGGCUGGAAUAAGUUCCCACUAAGGCCCAUAAGGUUUGAGAAGGAAAAAACACAAGGUGGAAAGAGUUUCCAAGUGGGAAGGUGGAAUUUGGAGUAGGACUCCUCCACCUCCAAUUUCGGCCAAACCUUGAGGUUUUGAGGCUGCCUCCUCCCCUCCCUCCCUCCUAUAUAUAGUGGUAAUUUAGGUCUGAUUUGAGACAACUUUACCACGUGCAACUCAAACCUACACCUCGUAGUUCUUCAUCUAGAUUAGAUUUCUGCGGAGCUCCGGCGGAGCCCUGCAGGAAUAGAUCAUCACCAACACUGGCGCGCCGUCACGCUGCCGGAGAACUCAUCUACUUCUUCGUCUCUCUUGCUAGAUCAAGAAGGCCGAGAUCGUCAUUGAGCUGUACGUGUGUUGAACGCGGAGGUGUCGUCCGUUCGGCGCUAGAUCGGAACGGAUCGUGGGACGGUUUGAGGGAUGGAUGGUGAAGACGUAUCACUACAUCAACCGCGUUUCUUAACGCUUCCCGUUGAGCGAUCUACAAGGGUACGUAGAUCUAAUCUCCUCUCGUAGAUGAACAUCACCAUGAUAGAUCUUCGUGUGCGUAUGAAUUUUUUUGUUUCCCAUGCAACGUUCCCCACGUAAUAUAUAAUUACGAUAAUAAGAUAUAUGAGUUAAAAAAAUAUAACUGAUUUCUAAUUAUUUAGAUUAGGAAAUAAAAUAAUUUUUCAAUGUUAAGUUAUGGGUAAAAGUUGGACACAUAGAGAUGCUACAGAUUUAUAUGUGGCACAAUGAGCUCAUGAAUUAUGUAUUAAUGUAAUUUAGCAAUUUAGUUAUUUUAGUUUGUAUUUUAUUAUUAAAGAUUCCAAAUAGUAUUGGAAGACCGAAAAAUAUAUUAAAGAGACACUCAUACAACUCAUAUAUUAAAAAAACCCAGCUCAAAACUAAAUUCUAUUCAUACAACUCGAGAUAUUUGGUAAUGUUUAUAAAACAAAAUGUUCAGGCUACUCUUCUUAUCACUGUUUGUUAUGUAUGUGUCUUUUACACAUUAAUAUACAUUGAAAGUGUGCAUGCAUUUCAAAAUAAUAGUUUAUUUUACUAAAAAAACAAAUAUGAAAUAUUUUUAUAUUUAAAGCAAAGGCUAUUUACAAAAAAAUCAUGUAUUUACAAAAAAGUAGCAAAGAAAGAAAAUAAAAAUUAAAACAUUUAAAAUGAUUUUAGAGGAGAUUAUAUGUGUUAUUGUUAAAAAAUAUUAUCUCUAAUCAUUUGCCAUAUGCUUUAUUUUAUUUUUCCUUUUUCUACCAAUUGCAUAUUUUGUUAAAUACAUGAAUACCUAGGUGUGUUCAUAAAUGGUCCAGAUCCUUGGAAUCAUCGACUCCCAUCCCUCCGUCCAAAAUGUUGCUCUUUGCAAAAAAUAGCGCUAGAAAAACAUGUUUAGUAGGCAGCUCCGCUCCAGAUUCACGAGAGGGAUAGGCGGGGAGACACAAGCAGUGCCAAUGGCAGGGGGGUCUAGCCAGAGGGUUGGGGGCCAAUGGCAGGUGGAUCUAGCCAGAGGUUUGGAGGAGAGAUGUCUACUUGAACCGCCUUUCCCUUGUCGGUGGCAGUUUCUUUGUAAAUCUUAUCAACUCUGUGAUUUUAAAGAUUUGAGAUCCAAAAAUAGCCGCUCUGCACAAUUUCACCGUAGCCCACUCCACUUUGCAUUUUCAGCUUUGCGGAGCUCGAGAGUUUGGCGCUGGCUCCGGGAGCGGAGAGAAUUCGAAGAUGCUCCUAGUUUGCUAGAUAUGAAAAUCAUUUUCUUGAUGUAUUAACAUCACCUUUUAAGACAAAUGAACAUGUGAAUCAACCUGUGAUUAGAUAGUUAGAGGAACAGUGGUAUUUCCAGCCCAUCAGGGUUCAAGUCCUGAUGCUCGCAUUAUUUCUGAAUUUAUUUCAAGAUUUCCGGAUAUGUCAGCUUAGUCUCUCGAAGGCAUUCAUAGGGAUAUAAUAUAUGUGUGUGCGUUUAUAAAAAUGACUGUAUACGCGUAUAUAUAAGCGCUCGUGUCUAUACCGUGUUAAAAAAAUACAAACCAAUAACUAAAGUCUCACAUAGAAGCUCGUGUCAUAAGAACUAGUAAUGUCCAUGUGUUUUUUUUAACACGGUACAGGCGCAAACGUUAAUACACACGCACAUACACUCACUUCUAUGAACGCAUACAUGCAUGCUCUAUCCCUAUGAGCAUCUCCGAGAGACUGAACCGGCAUAUUAUCUUAAAUUUUAAGAAAGUCAUCAGUAACAGAAAUGUCUUCUUCCACUGAAUGCGCAUCGCUAAAAAUCCUGAAAUAAAUUCAGUAAUAAAUAUGAGCACCAAGAUUUAAACUCUGAUAGGCUAGGGAUCCCUCUAAGUAUCCAACCACAGGUUGGUUCGCGGUUUGUAUUCCUUUUUGACAAAAAGAAAUACGUGGAUGUUUUUUCUACGGCGCAUGAGCAAUUUACCCGGAAACGAAUCAACAUCAUUUUCUUUCCAUGCCAUAAACAUAUCUUUCUGGAAAUAGACGAGCAUUCCUUUGUGGAAACAUUUGAACGCAUUGGAACACUUUCUUUUACCAAUGCAUGAGCGCAACAGCGGGCCGUGCAAUGUGCGGCCCAUGAGGACACGGAAAAAGCCCAGAAGAGAGAGAUCAGAUCAUAUGCUCCCCGUUGCGGCCCACGCACACACGGAGAAGAGAGAGAGAGAGAGAGAGAGGUGGGUAGGCGGCGAGCGUGCGACACCCUCCCCCAUCCCCUCGUCCGCUCCGCCGCCGGUCGGUCGGUCGGUCGCCUUCUCGCCGGCCGGCGCGAUGGGAGGCGACGCGCCGCCCAUGAAGAGGCCCAAGCUGGAGAAGGAUGACGGCUGGUCCCGCCACCCUUCAGCCGCCAACGGCUCCAGGCCCGCCAGCGAUGCGCCGCCGCCGCCGCCGGCCGGGGAGGACGAGGAGGAGCUCCCGGAGGAGGCCGUGCUCGCGCUCAUAGACCACCACGAGCGCGAGGUCGAGCGCUACAAGCUCAAGGUGCAUCUCCCCUCCCCCAGUCCCGUUCCCCCCUUCGGUUCUUGGUGGUGAAUGAACGAUCGAUCCUCGCGUCCGUCCGCAGCUGGAGGCCGCCGAGAGGAAGCUGGCCGAGACGCGGUCGAGGCUCGCCCAGCACCGAGGCCGCGGUCCCGAUCGGAACCAUCCGCCGCCGCCGCCACCAGCCGUGCAGAAGGCCGCCGCGCCCGAUCGCAGGACGCCGCCUCCGACCCAGAGGGAGUCCCCCAAGCCGUCGGCGCCGAGCCACAAGGCCCCCGCGCCGCAGACCAGGCCGCAGCUCGUCAUCCCGGGGGCAGGCCACAGCCGUCCGGCCCCGCGGCCCUCUUUACCCAUACCGAAGAAGUCUGCCUCCCCGGCAUCAUCGUCGUCGACCUUGGGGCAGGCGCCGCAGAGGAAGGCGGAGAAGAAACCCAAGAGAGAGAUUGGUACUUCCCACGGCUCGUCCAUUCGAGUUUACCCGAUAGAAUUCGAUCUCCGUCGAUAUGCAUGAUGCAAGCCUUGUUCUGUUUUUUUCCGGUUUUGCAGUGCAGAGAGAACAUCAGAACUUGAUUCAGAGCAUCAAGAAGUCGUCUGCGCCAACGACGCUUAAGUUCUACGGCGGAACUCUGGUCUCCAGCCAGCACAAGAGGAAGCUUAGGUGUCUUGAGCUGUGCCCUGCUGAUGACCAGCUUGUCGUUACAAGGUACUAGUAUGCUUGACUGGCUAUAAUAAAUAUAGCAGCAACUUUUUUUUGUACUAUCAAAUACAGUACCAAAUACGUGACAUUAAUGCGCUGACGAAGAAAACUAAAUUUGUCAAAUUCUUCCUCAUUUACUGAAGAAACUUGGUCAAAAAGCUGCCCCUGACCAGAAAAAAGGAUGAAUGAGAAUGAUGCAGGCUAGUUACCCGGACCGAAACACCAAUAAGUCCUGAUCUUGUUUAAUGCAUUGGUGUCUAAUGUUAUCCAAGGUAUAGUCAUGAACUGUGAANNNNNNNNNNNNNNNNNNNNNNNNNNUAAUGAACUGUGAAAGAGUGUUACAAGGUCAAAACCGUUGUUGACAUGGCUACGCUUAUUUGCUUAGGGAUUUGGUUGAUUUUUGGUCAAUUAUUCAGCUCCACGUAUAUGUUGCAGAGUAAACUAUGUAACCAAAUAUAAUAACUGUGACAUGUGUUAUGUUUUCUUAACUUCUGCUCGAUGUAGAACUUCGGUCUAAUGUUUUUUUUUUUGUUAUGCAGUGCAUUGGAUGGAAUGGUUGCUCUGUGGCAAGUACGGUCAAGUGGGUAAGCCUCAUUUCCUCUUUUCUCUUCACGACAUAUCUUAUUUUUAUUUCUGGGUACUGUUACUUGGCUCCCAAAACAUAUGGGAGAUAGGGUUACUUGUUUCGACUUGUAACGGAAAAUAAAAUUAUAAUAAGUGUGUGCCACCAUUAUAGUUGCAAUGAAGUCAAGAGAAGUACUAUGUUUGCUUGGAGAUAGAAGAUGCAUUUGCUAAAAUUAAAAGCCAUAAUUUCUAUAUGCCUUCAUGCAGACUAGGCAGUAGUUAGUGAAAGUUAUGCCAUAUAAUAUUGCUUUUGCUGCCAACAGGAGCCAUAGGCAAUGGUUUGUACUCCCCACAUGGUCAUAUUGAUGCUAAGCUAGCAUAAAUACAUGCCAGUGUCUGUAUUGUGCAUGCAGAUUCUGUAUUUUAUUUAUGAAGCUCUCAUGCUAUGUUUUUAUGAAGCUCACAUGCUUUUAUUGCAGAAUUUAGAUAUUUAGCAUCUGUUUGCGUGCUUUAUUCCUUGGUACAAAAGCCAGGUGUGUUGGCUGAUGCUCUCUUGCAUUGUUUGUGCCCCGCCUCACAUCACACAUUCACUACACCGAGAUAUUAAACCCAACAUCUUAGGUUUGUAUCAUAAGGUACAUCCAGUGAGCUAGUGGCUGGCUGGCUGCCAAGAAUCUAUCAACAUUUUUACCAUUUGACAUAAGAAACACUGACAUGGCAUUAUAGCCAAAAUUUCCUAAUCACUCCUUCAAAGUGCCAACGAAGCGGCAUCCUAUAUACUUAGAUUUAACUCCAACGAAAUAUGGAUAUUCACGUGACACACACCCGUAGCUAAUGUCAGAAGUUGCCCCACUUGCUAGCCCACAAUGAUAAGUGAAAAACUUUGGCAACUGCUGCAAACUGCAACUGAGCUAAUGAGACCCUUGGUACAGUGUCAUUUGUUCCAGUAACAGAGUGCGUACAUAGAAAACUGACACAUGUACAAGGCUAUGAACUGGGUACAUGAAUAAGAGCAUCUCCAACAGCCGCGCUUCGCGCCGCACCCAAAAAAUGCGUUUGCCGCGCGCGCUUCGGCUGGUAUAGCGCGGGGUUAGGCGCUGGCUCCAGCAGCCGCUCUAUAAUGCAGCGCGCGCGCGCCGCUCCAGCAGUGCCCAAAAAUGCAGCGCGCGCAAACCAUUUUUUAAUAAAUAGAUUGCAUUAAAAUAAAAAGCAUACAAAGUUAUUUUACAUAGAUUGCAACUUGAUAGGUAGUUCGAAAACAUAGAUAGAUAAUUCGGAACUAGAUAGUUCGAAAACAUAAAAACUUAAUCCCAGUCGCUCCAAUCAUCUGCACCAUCAUCAUCGUCGUUGGUGUCGUCAGAGGUUGACAGCCAGAUGUCGAACCAACACUCGUCUUCUUCAGUGAAGAAGGAGCUCCCGUCUGCAUUGACGAUGUCGGCCUGCGCACUCGCCAAUGCCUUCCGCCGACGCCGGUCCAACCGCUCCUCGCGGCGCCGGCGCGUGUCCUCCUCGCGGCGCCUUGCCCAAUAAUCCUGCUCGUAGGCGACGUCCUCCGGGUGGCGUCGGCGCCACUCCGCCAUGACCCGCUCGUCCUCCUGGGCGACGAGGAGGCGGCGCUGCCGCGCAGUGUGCUCCGCACGGUCUUGUGCGGAGUUUACACGAGGCGGCGGGGCGACGUCUAACGCCUGCUGGAGCGUGUAGACGUCCUGGAAGUUCAUUUGGCGGCGCGGCCUGCCUAGGCGCCACGCCGCCGCGUCGAACGCGCGGGCGGCCUCGUGCGCCGUGUCGUACGUGCCGAGGCUAAGCCGGAGAUCGCCGGAGCGUAUCUCGGCGUAGAACCCGCCGUUGGGGCGCUCGCGGAUGCCGCGGUAACCCGACGCAGAACGGCGGCAUGGUGGCGCGUCGGGAGCAGGGGCGCUGGAGCGGUGGCGGCGCGAGAGGCAGAGGGAGAGAGAGAGUGGAGCGGUGGCGGCGCGAGGGAGCGGCAAAGCUGCGGUUUUAUAGGCGCGCGCGAGCUGCCGCCUUUUCGCGCGCGCGCAACCGGUUACCGCGCGCGCUGUUUUCCCGCCGCCGCUGGAGCACGCCAUUCCGUCCCGCGCGCACUAAAAUGGCGGUUUACCGCGCGCGCGCCCCCUUUUCGUGCGUCUGUUGGAGAUGCUCUAACUACAAGGGUUCCCUAGACAUGAGGUAUGGCGACAUUCAACUACAAUGACCAAAUGAAUAAUCUGCAGAUGAUGAAGUGUAGUGAAGUAAAAUAAAUAAAUAACAGUAACUAGAGAACAUUGAUAUCCAAUGCAGCAAGGGGAAAGUAAAUUGAGAUAUAGAUAAAAGUAAUAGAUGACCUAAAUGCAAUCAAAGAAAGGGUGAUCCUAGAUAUGGAUAAAAGAAAGGAUGAUCAAUGCGGAAAGAUGACUAUGAACUGGUAAUAUUUUGUUGUAGCAAUAUGAAAUUAGCAAGCUUCUGAUUUUUAUUUUAUGUAUUUCCUACUUAUGCAUUGCCUUCUGUGAUAGCAGUAGUUUCGCAAAAGCUGACACUAUGGUGUUCAUCACUUGAAACGUUGACACUAUUUCCUACUUAUGCAUUGCCUUCUGCAAUAGCAGUAUUUCGCAAAAGUUUGACACUAUGGUGUUCAUCACUUGAAACGUUGACACUAUUUCCUACUUAUGCAUUGCCUUCUGCAAUAGCAGUAUUUUCGCAAAAGUUGACACUAUGGUGUUCAUUGGCACUUGAAAAGUUGACACUAUUUCCUACUUAUGCAUUGCCUUCUGCAAUAGCAGUAUUUCGCAAAAGUUUGACACUAUGGUGUUCAUUGGCACUUGAAAAGUUGACACUAUUUCCUACUUAUGCAUUGCCUUCUGCAAUAGCAGUAUUUUCGCAAAAGUUGACACUGGUGUUCAUCACUUGAAACGUUGCACGGGAAACCGGUGUGUGUAACCUACGAUACUAUGGAGAAUUAAUUCAUAUGGUGCUGGAGCUGCAUGUUUUUUUCGUUUUACUUUAAGCAUGUUUUCAAUUAUAAUAUUUGUACUUGCAGACCAUCUAUCUCCUUGCUUAGCACUACAAAUUGCUUCUCUUCAAAGCAAAGAUGGCCUGAGGAUGUAGCUUGGCAUCCGGAUGGUGACACAAUUUUUGCUGUAUAUACUGCUGAUGGUGGUGACACACAGGUUUCAAUGAUGAAUCUUAACACAUCAGGACAAGUAAGAACUCUGUUUAAACUUUAAACCUUGAAGUAGCACAGCAUAUUCCAUCUAUUAUCAUCCAUUACUGGGUUUUGUAGUUGUUAUAAAACAACACUGUUACAGUGAACUGGAUUGGUUUCAUAGGAAGUUCAGAUACAGCAAAUCUCAUUUUAGGUAGAAACACUUGCAUAUGAAGGAGCGUUUUCAUACCAAAAUUUUGCCCUCUGCAUGGUUUUGACUCACAAUAUUUUGUUAUUUUAAAUUAAAUCAGGUAAGGUAGGAAUUGGUAGGUGCCCUUAAGUUAUUCCUGUUUUCAUAUCCACCAAAUACCUUGAGUUUCUACUUCUCCUUUGUGCCUGGUGCAAUAAUAGUACCUGAUUUAUCCACAGAUAAAUCGAAUUCACAACCAUGGCUAUCAAAUUAGGUCUUAUCAAACGACCAACUAAAAUAGUUCUGUUAGUGUGAUUAUGUUAUCUAUGGAUGCAUCAAUGACCCAAUGUGAUCUGUAGUUAUGUUAUGUAAAAUCUUGCAAGAACCCACGCUUUUAUGUUGUUUCUUUUUGAUAAGUAACAGAUGGUUUACUUUCGACAUUAAAAUAUUCUUUCCCUUUAAACAGAAGAAAGUUACUUACCUGCAAGCGAAGCCUCAUACUAAGGGAAUCAUAAACAACAUAAAUUUCAUGCCCUGGUCUGAUACAUGCUUUAUGACCGGUGGAAGUGACCAUGCUGUCAUGCUCUGGCAAGAGAAAGAUGAUUCAUGGAACUUCAAGAAAGUGCACAGGGAUCAGCAUUCUUCUGGUGUCAUGGGUGUUGUCGGAUUGCAACAGAGAAAAACAAUAAUAUCAGUCGGACUUGACAAGAGGAUAAUAUCAUAUGAUGUUGCAACUGAAAGGACAGAGUACAAGAACCUAAUUGAUAGCAAAUGCUUGAGCGUAUUACUUAAUCCAAGCGAUUUCAACCUAUACAUGGUACAAACAGGGUAAGUGGACUUGUAAUGUUGCUUCUGAUUUUUGGGUUCCGUUUCACACCUAAACCUCAUUGGCAUAAAAUCCUUCAUAUGUUUGUGUACAAAACAAAUGUCCUUGUAUGUUUCUCAUUUGCAGUCCUGGGUGCAAUCGUUUCCAUCCGUGCCUUUUGGGAGUCGGUGCUGCAAGCUAAACCUGUUUUGUUUCUAACAACAGGUCGCCAGGCAGGCAGCUUCGCUUAUUUGACAUCAGGCUUAGGCAGACCGAGGUUCACGCGAUCGGUUGGAAGCAAACGAGCAGCGAGUCCCAGUCAGCCCUUGUAAACCAGUCAUGGUCUCCCGACGGCUGGUACCUGUCCUCUGGGUCAGCAGACCCUGUGAUCCAUAUCUUCGACAUAAGGUACCAGGGCCAGAAGCCCUGCCAGUCAGUGCAGGCGCACCAGAAGCGGGUCUUUAAGGCCAUUUGGCACCAGACCUUCCCAGUUUUGACCUCCAUCUCGUCGGACCUCAACAUCGCGAUCCACAAAUACUGAUGGAAACAGCCACCUGUGGAUUCUUGGCCUGGCGGAUCAUCACCAUUUUUGUUGCGAGCUCGCGAAAGACGGCGCGUCAAUGCCCUAGGAAAUUUCUUGGUCCACGGGAAUGGGAUGCAUCAGUGGAGCUCCAGACGAGAGGCCCCAACGACAUCUGCACUUUUUGAUGCAUCCGCAGGCCUCCCUGGUCGAAUGUUUUGCCCGUUGCUGCCUGUGGAGAAGUAGUACGUGCGUCGAAAACUGUUCCGGAACCAUUUCCUUUCCUCUCCUUAGCAUUUUAUUUUUGUUUGUUGGCAAUGUAAGUCUUGGUUCAGUUGGUACUGUGCGUUGCAAUUUACAAGUGUCUGGAGAUGUGAUGUCCAAAGUGACAGUCUCAGUUGAAAGAAACGUGUCCACCUGCUGUCAGCCCAAAAACUUGUGUGGUCUGAAUCUCAUACUCUAUCAGUGGUUAGUGAGUUAGUUGUCCAGCAGAACUUGACAGGUGGCGUGCUGCAUUAUUUGAGUUUUUUUUUAUCGUUUGUAUGUUUUUCAACUAUAUAUGGACACGUAGACGUGUAUCACGGUGGCUCCAGAUGUGCCAACCUGUUUGCUGAAUAAACAGGCACGUUGCCUUCUGUUUGUCUGACGUGGCACGUUGGCCGUCUCUUCUGGCUUGCAUUUGUUCCAUCAAGCUCAUAUAGGAUCCCAGUAUGUAAAUUCUGAAAUAUAAUUGCCAGAGCAGAAAAUAUACCCUGCUAAGCUCAUCUAGACCAACUACAUUUAUUUUGGGACAAGCUCAUCUAGACCAACGACAUUUAUUUUGGGACGGAGGGAGUAAUAGUUUCAUGGAGGACCCCGUUGUAAGUAGUGAUCUAAAGGAUCUUAUAUUAGUUUACUAACAUUUUAUCACAAGUUAAUAAACAGGAUCGGUGACAUAUUUCUUUAAAAAAAUGACUAAAAUCUCUCUCACACACACACAUGCACACGCCCCCGUGCGCGCACACACAAAGCAAUCGGAAAAUAAUUCUAGUCGAGGCUGAUCACUAGCAAUUCGGCAUCUGAAAUGCCCAAGCCCAACAAACACAAAUUUUCCAACGCAUGCGGUGUCGAAUUUAUGCAUUUGAUCAUAAAUUCUUGUUAUUACGUUUGAAAGGGCGAGUGGGAAUCUGGUGGCGAUAGCAACGGUUUCUGAGAGAGGCUACUCCAUCCGCACAUUUGUUAUCGGCAUCCAUCCCCUGAUGACUCCCUGUGGAUUCGCAUGGGACCUUUGCACCUGCAUUGCAUGGGACACAAGCAUGGCACCUCUCCUCCUCUGGUGUGGGUCACACCACAAUAAACAAAGUUGUUGCUAAAGGUACCAUGCACCAGACCGCAAGCAAGGAAAAUUCUAGAGGCUUCUUCACCAUGGCAUCAAAAAUCAAAAAGUUAAAUUUAACACAAAUGACAAGUGCACUAUAUGUGUGAUUUUUCCUCUUCUGAAUUCUAAAAUAAACCGGUUAGCUUGCUCACCCGCCUCGGCAUAAAAAAGAUCGAGCGGGUCUAUUUCCCGAGGAGUUGUACGGCUAAGUCGACUUUCAAGUACUCCCUCCUUCUCGAAAUUCUUGUCUUAGAUUUGUCUAGACAUGAAUGUAUCUAGUCAUGUUUUAGUAUUUUGAUACAUCCAUUUCUAGACAAACCUAAGACAAGAAUUUUAAGACGGAGGGAGUAGUUAUUACUUCCCACGUCGACAACUCAUGAUCAUUCAAUUAAAAAGCCAUUCGCCCGGUCCCUUUCGCAAUCUUUUGUCCCCGUGCGAUGGCCAAAAAUGUUGUCGUUUAUUUCUUUAGUCGAUUCGCUUGAGAAAUCACGUGAUUAUUUCAUUAUCCUUUUUCCAAGGGUAAUAGGUCGACGCCGUCGGAAAUCUCUUUCUUGUGGAUGAAGAAUGUAUAGAGAAAUUCAGAAAAAGUUAUAGUUAUUUGCUUGUGGUGAAUGAACAUUCUUAUCUUUGAGGUCUCACACCUGGCACUUCUAGAAAGAUCUACUACUGCUGUUGUAAAUCAAAGUGAUGUGUCCAAAUAUUAGUCGGCCAAGCGUUCCUACAUAAACCGCCGGCCGAAACAAUACACCAGCCGGUUGGCUUUGGUUGGUUGGUCGCACUCUUCUGCUCCCCAUCCAUCACCACCACCACCUUAUCAUCUUCUCCAUCCAUCAUCGUCAUCCUCGCCACCACCACCGCCACUUCUGCGUGUGAGCACGGCACCAGCGCCGCCGUCGUCGCUCGACAUGGCCACCACUCAAGGUCAGGAGCCACAUGUUCUCCUGCUUCCUUCCUUCUUGCGUGAUUAGUCCAUGGUUUCUUCUUGUGGCGGGAAGGAUUGGGGACAUGAUGGAGAAAUUAAGCUUGCUUGCGAAUUGUUUGGGCAGAGGCGGAGAAGACCAGCGUCGUCGUCAAGGCGGAGGAGGAGCCUUCCCCCACGGCCACGGCGGCGGCGCCGGCAGAGGAGAAGGCGAGCGUUAAGGCCGUGGAGGAGCCUUCCCCGGCGGCUGCAGCGGCGGUGGCGGAGGGGCAGCGGCCGCAGCCUGCGGCUACGGCGGCGCGCAGGGCGGGUGCUCCGGCCAGCCCCUUCGACUUCUCCACCAUGAUGAACUUGCUCAACG